RNAcentral lists this long non-coding RNA (69551 nucleotides) under Triticum aestivum (bread wheat). Its description in RNAcentral is "long non-coding RNA (TAES_LNC022292)". Lineage: Eukaryota; Viridiplantae; Streptophyta; Magnoliopsida; Poales; Poaceae. The record is from RNAcentral.
GCUCCCCACCGCCACCCUGUCCCCACUCACUCCCCACCACUCGCCUCUCUCUCUCGCGCGCGCGCCGCCACCCUCUCCCUGUCGAUGCUCCCUCUCGCCAGCAUCUUGCUCUACACCGCUGCUUAGCUCACCGCUCCCCACCACCGUGAUUCAUGUCGCAUCGCUAAUCCGCCUACCGCAGAGAAACAAAACUUCCAUUUUUAUGCGCCGCCGACAUGCUGCUGGGCAAGGAGGAGCUGGAUCCGCGUGCGUUGGCGCUAAAUCUGAGUGCGCUGGUGCUUGAUCUACUUUGUGGAUAGGAGUGAAGGAGGUGCUGAAGCGGAGCCCGAGAGGCACCGGUCGGCGUGAAGACGGCAACGUGAGGAGAUGGAGCCCGAGCGGGAGGAGUUGGAGCCGCAUCUGGACGUCGCCAUGAUGAGGAGAUGGAGCCGCAUAUGGACGCCCCCAUGAGUUGGACUUCCCCGACCACGAUGACGUUGAUGCCGUGGUUUUUUUUAUGCUUGAGCUUGCUGUAAUGAAUGGAUUCUUCGUGUACUCCAGCUUGACUGUACUCCAGAGGCUGGAUGGGUGGGUGGAGUAGGAUUAGUUAGUGCAUGCGUAGGCUGGAUGGAGUAGGAUUAGUUAGUGGAUCAGGCCCGAGCUUAGUUAGUGGAUGCAUUAGGAGUAAAAUUCAGUAAGAUGUGUACUGUCUCAAAAUUUAAGAAGUCCUGCUCUAAAAUUCAGUAAAAUUUGUAGUGUACUCUAAACUCUGAAGUUAAUGGAUGGAUUAUUUGAACUCUGAACUCUGAAAUUUGAACUCUAAAUUUUGUACUAUCUCAAAAUUCAGUAAGAUUUGUACUGUACUUGAACUCUGAAAUUUGGUUUUGACUGAAGAUCGGUAAGAUUCACAGUUUGUGUUGUUCUGAAUAAGAGUUUUGACUGAAGAUCAGUAAGAUUAGUUGAGCUGGAGUAGAAGUAGAUACCAUGUUGUUCCAGCAAAGAGAGUUUCUUCAUCUGGAGAUAGUAGUUAGUGGAGUAAGAGAGUUUCUUCAUCUUGGAGUACUUAGAGUACUCCUUGUAGUAAUUAUUGCAAUAUUGUUGUACUCCUUAAAGUAAAGAUGAUUUAGGAGUACUUCAUCUAGAGACAGUAUUGCUGUACUUAGAGUACUCCUUAAAGUAUUGCAGUAGCUGAUGCAAGCUGAUUUAGGUGUACAACACUUAAAGUAAAGAAUGUGCAAGUUUACUGUCAAGUUUCUGCAGUUCCUAUAGUAACCCUACUGUCAAUUUUAUGUUAACUUGCUACUCCUGUCAAUUUCUUGGAGUUCCUGGAGUAGAGUAGUGCACUGCCCUUGUUUGCUUGCAGGAGUAAUUAAUUGAAACCUUUUCAAUUAAUUAAAAUUUGGUGUAUACUUCUUGCUUGCAUCAGUAGUGCAAACUACUCUUCUUUCUUGCACUUGGAGCACACACACACUUGGGCUAAAUGCAGUAGCUUGGAAUUAACUGGAACUCUUUUAAAACUAAAUGAAUCUUUUCAUUUAAAUGAAACUUUUUUCUUCAAUUAAUUUGUAGAAAGUCCUUGAUGUAGUUAACUACUGAAACUACUUUUUGUAGUUGACUUGGAGUACUUGCUGUCUUCCAUGAUAUGUUUAUUUGGAGUACUGAAAUUUGCAAAGAAGAAACUUGAAACUUGCUAAACCUGGAGUACUUGCUAUAGUAACUGAAUAAAUUAUGGUGCAUAAUUACUCCAUAAGUACUUGCUAGGAAUGGACAUUAUGAUCAUGCAAAGAUGAUCAUGAUGGUUAACUGCAUUUGGAGUACAGUACAUCAAUUACUGAUUAGGAGUAUGCAAAGGCCACUGCCUUUGGAGUAUAGUACAUCAUUUACUUACUCCACUGAUUAGGAGUACAUGUGCUGAUUAGGAGUACAUAUACUGAUUAGGAGUAUGUGGUAUCUUGCCUGAAAUGCUACAGUAUGUUGCACAUAUACUGAUCAAUACUCCUGAAAUGCUAUAGUAUCUUGCCUGAAAAUUCUAAAGUAUGUACUUUACUCCAGCGAUAGUAAAGAUUCAAUUUAUGAUUACAGCAAAUGAUUCAAAGUUUCAGUUUAUGAUUCAACAAACUUACUCAAGUGAUUACAACAAGUGUCAGUUUGUGACUCAAAGUUUCCUUUAUCUUAAACUGUUUACUUAGAUUGUUUAUGAUCAUCAAAUUGUUUACUCGGAUGAACAAGUCUCAGUUUAUGAUCAUCAGAUUGUUUAUGAUUGUCAAAUUGAUGCAGAGCUGAGUACUGGGCGAUGAGAUGAACCUAGGCGAUUAAAAUUGAGAACUCCAGCUCCUGUGCAGCAGCGAGUACUUCACGGCAGUAGCACCUGUGCGUGGGGAGUAACAGCCCCUGGGUGCGUGCGGGCUCCAGCUCACCUCCAUCAGCAGUUGGCAGCAGAGCAGUAGCACGCCUCCACCAGCGGGCAGCAGCAGAGUACUAGCUCGCCUCCACCAGCGGGCAACAGCGGAGCACUAGCUCGUCUCCACUAGCGGGCGGCAGUAGAGCACCACCUAGGAGCAUGCAGGCCACGAGGAGCCCCUGGGUGUGGGACUGGAGGAGCGCUUGGGCGGGGCUGGAGGUGGAGGGCAAUGGCGGAGGACGGGGGCGGAGGUGGAGGUAGAAUAUGAGCGUAGGUUGAAGAUGGGCAGAUUCAAAUUUUGAACAGGGGUAUUAAAGUCAUUUGACAGGUUUUCACCUGGUCAAAACACGAUGCCCAGUGACCUACAUUUCGACGGAGGGAGUAUAUUUUUCAUGAGUCAUGUACGGGCGUAUGAUUUAUUGCAGUAUAAUAAUAAACAUUAACUGGAUAUAUGAUUUAAGUAGGAUGGUUUCUGUCGCACUGAAUUAUUAUCAUGUUUGUGGCAUAACUAAUUGGUGCUCGCCUUAUUUGACUGAGUGGCACGCAUAUCAUUAAAUUUGGUCAGGCGGCUUGGCAGUAGAUACAAAUAAGGUGAGUUUAAUAUUUCCUGUUCCUUCUUUGGUUGUGAUCAUGCAAUUUAUAUUUGAAUCAGGUGACCAUGUAUUGCUUGUUGUUUCUUAAAUCAUGAGCUUAGUUACUUUUAUUUCAGGUGAUAUUGUCAAGAACAUGAGGAGCCUCCAUUUCAGAGGUGCUUCUGUUGCAAGUUGCAACAGAUUGCUGCUUGUGGUUGGCGGCAGUGUCUCCACACACUUGUUCGUGAUUGGUUCGUUUCUUAAUCAUACUAGCAUAGUUGUAGUGUGAAAUCAUGAGCUUAGUUACUUUUUUAGGUUGCCCUGCUGGAUGCCAAUGUUAGGUUGUUGUGUACCUACGAAUGGCUCGUUGGUACCUAGAUUAUGUGGUGCGUACCUACUAUCUGUAGGAAGGAGAUUUUUUUAUUAGGUGAAGGUUCUUUAUGUACUGGAAUAGUAGGGCAACCAAACGAGUUGUUUGCUCAUCACCAUAUCUAUGUUAGUCUAUGCUUCCUUUCGUUAAUUGCUUAGUCCGUGCUUGAUUGCUUGCUUCUUGCAUUGAACAUCGAUGAAUGGCACUAUGGCGGCAAGGAGUAGCAUCAGUAGGUCGGCUCGGUCCCAAUUGCAAAUUUCUUUUUUGUUUUGUAUUAUUCAACCAUGCAUGUUUGUAUAUUUUGGAUGGCCUUGGUGACUUCAAAAUCUACAGUGCCAUAUUUAGUCGCACUUUGUUUACAUGAUUGGGGCUACAUUCCAGAAACUAUGCUCUGGUGGUUGCAAAAUUAUAGUGGCUAGCUGGGACAACUAAUUCAUUUCUUGAUUAAAGAGAACUAGAUUAUUGUCCUGUUUUAGUGGUUCUAGGUUAUUGUAGUAGUAUAACUAGGCUUCGUUUACACAGAAUCCAAAUAGGAUUUAAUUCGGGCUUGGUCCGAACAUGGUGUAGUAUCAUAACCGAUUAUUUGGUUGGACUGGUCAAGUGUUCUAGCAAUUCUUGAUGCAGUAUUCAUUCUAUAGUAUGUACUAGCUCUUAGACAAGGUAAUUGUUUAGCCCCUGAUUUCUUAGCUACUGGUUGGUCCUGUAAAGCUACAUCCAUUCCUUGCUUUCUGAUUAGUGUUAUUUGAAUCUAUAGUAGUGGGUAUGCGUAGAAGAUCCGCUAAUUUGAGUUUUUCUGCCUUUAUUUAUCGUGUGAUGGCCAUGGUUGGAGCUUUGCCGCCUCCAUCUCGACUCUAUUAAGGUUCCAGGUUCACCCUUCACCACUCUCCUCUUGAGGCCAAGCGAUGUGCGGCGGCUGCAGGGUCUUCCCCUGCUUUGGUGGUGGCGGGCAGGCGGUCACCCAACCAGAUCUGGCACGGUGCGCGACCUGUGGUGCAUGGCCUGGUCUGCGGGGGCGAGAGACGCAUGGGUCCUUGGUCCGGCAGCGUCGGCGGGACGCUGUGCGCCCGUCUGCUUUCUAGCUAGGUAUGUGUUUAUGCAAAAUCUACAAUGCUCCUUCAAGGUUUAUACAUCAAUUGCAAAGGGUUUUAGGAAUGCAUCACUAUAUUGUUUUGGGUUUAUACAUGAACUGCAGAGAGUUUUAUAAACCUAUCAUUAUAUUGUUUUGGAUUUAUAUAUGAACUGCAAAAAGUUUUAGGCAUGUGAAAAUCAGAGAUCAGGCGGCAGGUAUUUUUUUUCUUGUUUCCAAUGCUACCAUGAUAUUCUAUAUACUAAAAAGGACUGGUGCACACUUGCUUUGCUCCUUACUAUUUAUGAUCAGUUGCCAAACAUUAUAAUAGUAUAUACACAUUGCUUCAAAACUAAGUAUGUUCCUUGGUGAUGGUGUAUUUAUUAUGAAAAUUAAUAUGACUGCUUACCCAUGGUAAUGUUGUAUUGCUACUCGAUUACUUACCCUGUUUAUGUGACAGAUAUGGUCAGGCAAGUAUUGAGCGUCCAAUUUCAUAAAUAUUGAGCAUAUAGUUUCAACAUCAACAUAAACAUGACAUGGUCUUUGUUGUCGAGUUGUGUUUAGUUCUGUCCAUGUAGAACUUACUAGAAAUUCUUACACACAUCCUAGACAAAUAAAUACCUGCAUGCAUUUAAAUUAAGCAAUUCCAAAGAAAGAAAUAUUUCAAGUUCUUUUGUUUGUGAUGAGUUGCUCUUAGAGUCAUAAACAUACUGAUGUAAGAUGAAGUUUUUAGAGAUAGACAUAUUAAAUUUGGGUGAAAGAAGUAUACCACGGGUGAAAUAUCACGAUGGCAUUGUUAUCAUGCACUCCCUUCGUUCCUAAAUAUAAGUCUUUUUAGAGAUUCCUUUUAGUUUUUUGUAAUCGGUGGCUUGCUAAUUAGGCAAAAACAAUAUACUAAAUCAUGCCAAACAAAAGAGGCAGCCAUUUAAUCAGCAAGAUUUUCACAACAAGAUACUAAAUAUGUGGCUUGCUAAUCGGUGGCUUGCUUGCAUGAUGAUAAGUUUUGACCACAAGAAUGUUCUAACAAAUCUUAUCCUUGAUUGCAGCUAAAAGAGAACUGAUUAGGCCUCGAUCAUCCCCACCCCUGGUGCUCCUAGACGUGCUACACAUCGUCUCCUCACCUCCUUGGUCGCUUAGGUGCCAGUGGCGUUCGUUCUCGUCGGCGGGAUGGUGCAAGGCGCAACCCCGACGUGGUUCCUCGUCGGUUCGAUGGCGUUAAGGUGCAACCCCGGUGCACACUGAGUACUGCCUCAACUACAACCUCCCUCGGUGAGCUCCAUCUUCCCCUGCUCUGCUUCAGCUACUAUGUGGGACAUGGCCAGGGCUAUGAUGAUCAGUUAUGGCUGAUAUAGGCAUGCUCUCGAGCAAUCGAGGCACUUGUGGGUAUUAAUUUGGAUCCUCCCUCAUUUCUUUGAUUUGUUUUGAUCACGUUCUUAUUUUAGUGGCUCUGUCCUUGGAUGGUCAUUUCUGAUGAGUGAUAACCAGGGUAGUUUCACCCUCGUAAGAACAUAUUGAUUUGGUGAUCCAUCCAGAAAUAAGACUCGCGGCAAGUUCCCUGGCUCCUCAGAUCUCAGCCACUUUGGCCGUCGGAUCAAUUUCCUGAUGCGACUCUGGCCGUCGGAUCUCGCUCUGGAUUGUUCUCGGCCGUUUGAUCGAGCCCGAGCUCCUGCGGCAAUGAAUAGUUACUCCCACGGUGAGAUAUCUCAUGCCACCCCGUUUGAAUCACGUGCCCCAUUGGUCGGAAGCCAUUCUUGCUAGGGUGAUGAUGAUUAGCAUGGCUGAAAUAAGUGUGCCUCUAAGCAAGCGAGGCACUUGUGGGUAUCAAGUUGGAUCCUCCCUCUUGUCUCUAGAAUCCUUUUUGAUCCUCUGAUACUUAUUGUUCUGUCCUUGGAUGGUCAUUCUUGUUGAGUGCUAUCCAGGGCAGCUCCACUUAAUAAACAGAUUGAUCUGGUGAUAAGAGACGAUGGGGUUAGAUUAUAUGAUCGAGGAAAGGCAAAUCUGAGCCCACUAUGCACUGAAACCUGAACCCUUUUUAUUUGUAUUUAAAGGUGUUGCUUAUUUAUGCUCCAGUGUUUAUAGCCGUCUUAUGUAAAGAUUUCUUCUCUCUCAUACCUUUAUUGCAUAUAGGUUGUUCUUAAUUUUUAUUUUGGUCCUUGAUCUAAUCUGGUUAAGAGUAAGUUGCACUUUGUUAUUCUGGGAUAAGCGAUGGUUCGACAAUGCUAUUGGUUCUUCAUGAGGAGUUCACAGGAGGAUUUGUGAUAUUAUUUUAUUGUUAACGAGUCAUGCUAGUAAGCUUUGUUGCAGGUACCCACACUUCUCUCUUCCUCCUGAUUAGCCUGGUCUCUUUUCUAUACGUGUCUACAAGUUGUGUGUCUACAAGCUGUGAAUUACAUAUGUAAGUGUUAUGUUGGAUCAUUAGAUUGUUGCGGAGAUAUUAUAUACAGGGUGUCAGGGUGUUAAUUGUUCUUGCUUGCUUGCCGCUUAUCUGCAUAGUGAUGCAUUGCUUUUAGUUUUUCUGCUUGCUUAGUUGGCUAAAAAGAACAUCAAUGUACAUGGUUGUUGUACUGCAUGAUGCUACUUCUUGAGCUUGCAUUUGUUUUUCCCUGAAGAGGAAAGAGUGAUGCAGCAAAGUAGAGAUAAGUAUCUCCCUCGGUUAAGAACCAAGGUAUCAAUCUAGUAGGAGAUACAAGCAAGUCUCCAAUCUAUGCACCUGCACAAACAAUCAAAUACUUGCACCCAACGCGAUAAAGGGGUUGUCAAUCCCUUCACGGUCACUUGAAAAUGUGAGAUUUGAUAGAGAUAGAUAUAAAAGAUUUCUAAAACAUAAAAUAAAAUAAAAGUAAAUAGAACUCGGCGAGGUAUUUUUGUGUUUUUUGGUUUAUAGAUCUGAAAAUAUAUGAUGGAAAAUAGACCCGGGGACCAUAGGUUUCACUAGAGGCUUCUCUCUUGAAAGAAAAUAAUAUGGCGGGUGAACAAAUUACUGUCGAGCAAUUAAUAGAAAAGCGCAAAGUUAUGACGAUAUCCAAGGCAAUGAUUAUGAAUAUAGGCAUCACGUCUAUGUCAAGUAGACCGACUCCUGCCUGCAUCUACUACUAUUACUCCACACAAUUACCGACUCCUGCCUGCAUCUAGAGUAUUAAGUUCAAGAUAACAGAGUAACGCUUUAAGUAAGAUGACAUGAUGUAGAUGGAUGAACUCAAGAAAUAUGGUGAAAACUCCAUCUUCUUACCCUUGAUGGAAACAAUACAAUAUGUGCCUCACUACCCCUACUGUCACUGGAUGAGGACACCACAAGAUUGAACCCAAAACUAAGCACCUCUCCCAUUGCAAGAAAUACCAAUCUAGUUAGCCAAACCAAACUGAUAAUUCGAAGAGAAAUACAAAGAUAUCAAAUCAUCCAUAUAACAAUUCAGAGAAGAUUCAAAUAAUAUUCAUAGAAAAAUCUGAUCAUAAAUCCACAAUUCGUUGAAUCUCGAUAAACACACCGCAAAAUAAUAUUACAUCGAAUAGAACUCCAAGAAUAUCAAGGAGAACAUUUUAUUGAAGAUCAAAGAGAGAGAAGAAGCCAUCUAGCUACUAGCUUUGGACCUGUAGGUCUGUGGUAAACUACUCACGCUUCAUCGGAAGGGCAAUAGGGUUGACGUAGAAGCCCUCCGUGAUUGAAUCCCUGAAAGUCCAACUAAUCCCCGGGUGGUUUUGGUAAUUCAUAACAACAUAUAGCUCAUUGAACUAAUAUCCAUUCAAAUUAAAUAUUUCAGAAAGUUCAAUGAUUGGCAUGGCAUGGACUAGAGAUGUGGACCCUUCAAAAUGCUAAGGACAAAGAUUGGCAAAAUCUCAAGACUCUUUAUCUUCAUUUUAGUGAUCCAAGAUCACAUUGAGUCCAUAGGAAAGACAAUACUAUUAAAAUGGGAUGAGUUGUUGCUUAAUAGUCUACUUGCUCAAAGUGCUUAGUGAUAUUGCUCCAAAACCCUCAACCACUUUCUCAUUUCCACAUAUGUCCAAAACCCAAAGUCAAACUCGUCCCCGCCUAUUUGAUCCAUCUGGCGCCACGGAGUUCAUUUGACAUAGCCACUGCAAGAAACCCUAGACAAUUCGAUCUCAUCAAUAAGGAUAUCGGUCUCACCGAGAUGGCAUUGCAAACUCUCUGUUUCCCUUCGUAAUCUUUUGAUCUCACUGAAAUGAGCGAUCGGUCCCACCGAGUUCGCAUUGCAAACUCUAUAUUUCCCUUCAUAACAUUUUGGUCUCACCGAAAUGAGCGACCAGUCCCACCGAGUUUGCUUGACCAACUCUUUGUUUGCUCAUUGCUGAAAUCGAUCUCACCGAGUUCAUGCAAUCGGUCUCACCGAGAUGAAAUUUUGGCCUAGCCCUAGCACAUCAGUGCCACUGAGUUGAUUCAUGUCGGUCCCACCAAAAUUCCUAACGUUCACAUUUUGAACUAAAUCGGUCUCACCGAGUUCAUCUAUUCGCUCUGACCGAGUUUGGUCAAAUGUGUGUAACAGUUGGAUUUUGUGUGGAGGCUAUAUAUACCCCUCCACCCCCAUAUCCAUUUGAGAGAGAGCCAUCAGAACAUGCCUACACUUCCACUACUUAUUUUUUGAGAGAGAACCACCUACUCAUGUGUUGAGACCAAGGCAUUCCAAUCCUACCACUAGAAUCUUGAUCUCUAGCCUUCCCCAGGUUGCUUUCCACUCAAGUCUUCUUUCUACCAUAGCCAAAUCUGUGUGAGAGAGUUGGGUGUUGGGGAGACUAUCAUUUGAAGCACAAGAACAAGGAGUUCAUCAUCAACACACCAUCUAUUACCUUUUGGAGAGUGGUGUCUCCUAGAUUGGUUAGGUGUCACUUGGGAGCCUCCGACAAGAUUGUGGAGUUGAACCAAGGAGUUUGUAAAGGCAAGGAGAUCGCCUACUUCAUGAAGAUCUACCCGAGUGAGGUAAGUCCUUUGUGGGAUAUGACCAUGGUGGGAUAGACAAGGUUGCUUCUCUGUGGACCCUUCGUGGGUGGAGCCCUCCGUGGACUCGCGCAAUUGUUACCCUUCGUGGGUUGAAGGCUCCAUCAAUGUGGGCGUACGCUGGCACCACAUAUACGAACCACGCCAAAAAUCUCCAUGUCUACAUUGCGUUUGCCUUCUCCAAACCCUUCCCUUUACCUUCGUAUGCAAUGUUUUACUUUCCACUGCUACACUCUUAGAAUUGCAUGUGUAGGUUGAUUGCUUGACUUGUGCUAAGUUGCUAAAAUCUGCCAAGACUUAAAAUUGGGAAAGGCUAGAUUUUUAUUUGGUCAAGUAGUCUAAUCACCCCCCCUCUAGACCUACUUUCAAUCCUACAAGUGGUAUCAGAGUUUUGGUCUCCAUUUUCCUUUAUUUCCAUAGCUUUUGGUGAUCAUAGCCUUGGUUUCACAACCUAGGAGAGUAUGGCGUCUAGUGAGGGAAAUUACCACCGUAGAGGUCCUUACUUUGAUGCUACUAAUUUUGCUAGUUGGAAGCAUAAGAUGAAAAUGCAUAUUCUUGGUCAUAGCCCCGCCGUUUGGGCUAUUGUGCAUAUUGGUUUGCAAGGUGAAUACUUCGAGGACGGAAGAGAACCGGAUCGUGAAGCAUCCGCGGAAGAAUUGAAGAUGUUGCAAUACAAUGCUCAACCUUGCGAUAUCCUCUUCAACGUUUGUGCCCCGAAGAAUUUAACAAAAUCAAUCGUCCUGAGAAUGCAAAGGAAAUUUGGGAUACUUUGAUUUAUAUGCAUGAAGGUACUGAGUCCGUCAAGGAAUCCAAAUUGGAAGUGCUUCAAAGUCAACAUGACAAGUUCAAAAUGGAGGAUGGUGAAGGAGUCGCUGAAAUGUACUCUAGGUUUGCUCUCAUCACAAAUGAGAUUGCCGGCUUAGGAAGCGAAGAGAUGACUGACAGAUUCAUCAUCAAGAAGAUACUAAGAGCCUUGAUGGAAAAUAUGAUACCGUGUGCACCUUGAUCCAAAUGAUGCCCAACUACAAAGAUCUCAAGCCAACGGAAGUCAUUGGUAGAAUUGUUGCUCAUGAGAUGUCACUCAGGGAUAAGGAAGAGCUUCACAACAAGUCUAGUGGUGCUUAUAAAGUUUCAUGUGAUGCUCCUACAACAUCAAGUGAAAAGCAAGUCUUCGAUGAAGAAUUGAGCUUAAUGGUGAAGAACUUCAACAAGUUCUACAAGAGUAGAAGCAAAGAGAGAAGUUUCAAGUCAAGGUCCUACAAUGACAAAAGAUCUUCUAGUCGUGAUCGCAAUUGCUACAAUUGUGGAAGACCCAGACACUACUCCAAUGAGUGUACGACUCCCUACAAAAGAAGAUAAGACUCACCUAAAAGGAUAAGUAAAAGAGAUGAAUCACCACCAAGAGAGAGAAGGAAUAGAGAUGAUCGUUAUGAACGAAGACACUCUCGUAGAAGCAAGGAUUCAGAAAAGAAGGACAAGUCAUCAAAGAGAUACACAAGACGAAGACAUCAAGCUCACAUUGGUGAAUGGGUAUCAGGUUCCAACUCCGACAACUACUCCGAGAGAAGUUAUCACUCCGACUCCGAAUAUACUCAAGAUGAAGGUGUUCCCAGUCUUGCACUUGUGUAAUCCAACUCCUACGACAUAUUUGACUCACCAAAUGAAGCCAUUGGAAGAUGCUUCAUGGCUAAAGGCCCCAAGGUAUCACACCCCGAGUAUGUUGAUUUCAGUAGUGAUGAAGAUGAUUUGCUAGGUGAUGAUGAUUUACUAUUAACAACACUAGUGAUGAAAACUAUGAUGAACUUGCUAUUAAUCAUGCUAAUCAAGAUGAAAAUAAUGAAAAUGACAAGAAGGAGAUUGAGUGUCUAACUAAAUAACUAAACACUCUUAAGUUAGCUCAUGGAACUACUUUAGAGGAUCAUCGAGAGCUUUUAAAGACUCAUGAGAAGCUACACUUUGAGAAGCUCAAUUUAGAGCAAGAGCAUGGGUUCUUAAAAGCAAUCAAUGAUGGUCUUCGAAAGAAAAGUUCUUACAUUGUCAAGCAUUUGCUCUUGUCUACUUACAUGCCACAAGUAAAAUCUAGCAAUAAGAGCAAGAAAGAUUCUUCUUCUAGUAGUAACAAUAAUCAUGGUAAAUCCAAUAUUGUUGCUUCUAGUAGUUCUCAUGAUUCCACUAAUGAUUCUCUUAGCCAAGUUACACUUGAGCAAGAAAAUAGCUUAUUGAUGGGAAUUAUAGAGAAAGGUGUUUACAAGAGCCUUGUCAGAAGGCAAUUUGAGGAAAUUGUAAGCAAGCAAGGAAGGUACCGGAAGAAUCAAGGUGUUGGUUUUGAACGGAAGUUCAAUGCCAAUGGAGUUGAGUGGGAAGAAGAUCAAUACCCCAAGAAGAAGUUUGUUCCUCAACAAGAGAAGUAUGACCCUAUUUCUUUCAAGGGAACACACGCUCAAGAUGAUCUUCCACCACAAGACCGCAAGCUAAAAGGCAAGGACAAGAUUCAAGAGGAGAUUGAUGCAUUUGAAGAAGCUCCUAAGGCCUUGGUCAAGUGGGUUCCCAAGACUACAUCAAGUUCUACUUCAUCAAGUACGACUACAACUCCAAGGAUUCCCAUCAAGUUGAUGUGGGUCCCAAAGAAGAAGAACUAGAGAGUUCUUGAGGGUGACUCCGCCAACAUACUUCACUCGUAUUCAUUUUGGCAAGGACAAGUGCAAUCAACUUCCAUAUCUUGCACUAGUUCAAGGAGUCACAAACCCACUUGUUGGUAAGUCAAGGGACAAGGUAACCAAAUGCUUCUGUGGACAUCAUGAUAUGUGUACUUCACUCUAUGUCUAUGGAUAUCCUUGCUUGUUCCUUGUGGGACUAACCCAUGUAGGUAUUGAAAGUGUAACUCACUUCAAUGGAUUACUCCAAAUUAUCUACAUCAACACUAAGCAUCCACAUCUUCAACAUCUACAUGAAGUCAUCAUCGACAAAACCCAAGGUUAGUUCAUCCCUCUAAGGGGGGAUAUCACAUCUAGGGGGAGCUUUGCUCUGAGAAUUGAGCUAAAGCAACUCUAAUGGUGUGAACACAACAAUGCUUUAUGUAAAAGUGGUAAACCCACUUGUGCUUAAACAAUGAGUAUGACCUAUGAUCAAAUGUUCUCUGACUCCUAAGUCAAUACACUCAUGUAUAGAUGACCUUGUAAUCACCAAUUGCUUGAUAGAUGCUAGAGUGUUUGUUCAUGCUUUGCCACAUAUUUCAUUUGCUAUCUUAUUGUGUGAGCAUGUUGGUUGUAUAAUUUUCUCCAUUCAAGGACAUCCAUUUGUUGCCUUGAUUGAUUGAGUUUUUAUUUUUGCCAAAUGGAUGGACAAGAAUGCCUAAGUACUCCCUCUAACUAUCAAUGCUUUUAUAAUCUCAAACUAUCAUGCUACAUCACAAAGCUUGAACAAGUCAAAUUCGGACCCUCCGGGCGAGGAGCACUCGGAGUCACCAAUCCGUCAAGGGCUUAAACUUCCAAAACCUCUUAAUGCAUCUCGGUCAUACCAACUCAUCCACUCGGUCUCACCGAAUUCAUUAAGUUGAUCUAGGUUUUCACCUCGGUGCAACUGAUUUGAACAAUUCGGUCACACUGAGUUGCAGUAACUGCUAGCAGUUUUGCAUCUUGGUGCCACUGAGUCGUUCCACUCGAUCACACCGUUAAUGACUGGGUAUAUAUAUCGUGGGUUGAAAUUUUGGAAAAUCCUCCAAACCACUCGUCCGUGCCUCCCAGCUCUGCCACCCCCUUGGUAUCCGGAUCGUCUCUGUCGUCGCCAACGUCCUCCUGCCGCUGGUCUUCAUCGCUGUCAAUGGAAAUCUCACCAUCGUUGUCGCCGUAGCAAGUUCGUCGCCAAGUUAGGGUACUGACUCGAACUCUUUGUGCGUUCCUUUGUCCGAUUCUUGCAUAAAGAUCAUUGCCAUUAUUCUUAUCAUGAAUGAGAUCUAUAUAUCCACCAAAAAGUUACAUUAGAAUAGAUUUGAUGCAAAAACUUAGGGUUAGGUUUCCGCCGAACUCAUCUCGUACGGGACGAUAUGAGGAUCUCGGUUUCACAUAUUUCGCUCAGGCCAUUGCACAACUACAACUCGGUCUGACCGAAGCAUACUAAUCGAUGUGACCAAAAUCACUCACUUUGUGAAACCCUGAUACGUCUCCAACGUAUCCAUAAUUUAUGAAGCAUUCAUCCUAUUUAUUAUCUGUUUUGGAUGAUUACCAGCUUUAUUAUACACUUCUAUAUUACUUUUGGGACUAACCUAUUAACCGGAGACCCAGCCCAUAUUGUUGUUUUAUUGCCUGUUUCAGUAUUUUGAAGAAAAGGAAUAUCAAACAGAGUCCAAACGAAAUGAAACCUUCGGCAGCGUGAUUUUUGGAACGAACGUGACCCAGGAAACUUGGGGUGCAAGUCAGGGGAGCAUCGAGGAAGCCACGAGAUAGGGGGGGCAUGCCCACCCCCCUGGGCGUGCCCUACCCUCUCGUGGGCCCCUCGAGGCUCCCCCGACCAACUUCUUUCGCCUACAUAAGCCUACAUACCCUAAAAACAUCAAAAACGAAGAUAGAUCGGGAGUUCCGCCGCCGCAAGCCUCUGUAGCCACCAAAAACCUCUCGGGAGCCCGUUCCGGCACCCUGCCAGAGGGGGAAUCCAUCACCGGUGGCCAUCUUCAUCAUCCCGGCGCUCUCCAUGACGAGGAGGGAGUAUUUCACCCUCGGGGCUGAGGGUAUGUACCAGUAGCUAUGUGUUUGAUCUCUCUCUCUCUCUCUCUCUCGUGUUCUUUGCACGAUCUUGAUGUAUCGCGAGCUUUGCUAUUAUAGUUGGAUCUUAUGAUGUUUCUCCCCCUCUACUCUCUUGUGAUGAAUUGAGUUUACCUUUGAAGUUAUCUUGUCGGAUUGAGUCUUUAAGGAUUUGAGAACACUUGAUGUAUGUCUUGCCGUGCUUAUCUGUGGUGACAAUGGGAUUUCACGUGCCACUUGAUGUAUGUUUUGGUGACCAACUUGCGGGUUCCGCCCAUGAACCUAUGCAUAGGGGUUGGCACACGUUUUCGUCUUGACUCUCCGGUAGAAACUUUGGGGCACUCUUUGAAGUACUUUGUGUUGGUUGGAUGAAUAUGAGAUUGUGUGAUGCAUAUCGUAUAAUCAUGUCCACGGAUACUUGAGGUGACAAUGGAGUAUCUAGGCGACAUUAGGGUUUUGGUUGAUUUGUGUCUUAAGGUGUUAUUCUAGUACGAACUCUUGAAUAGAUCGAUCCGAAAGAAUAACUUUGAGGUGGUUUCGUACCCUACCAUAAUCUCUUCUUUUGUUCUCCGCUAUUAGUGGCUUUGGAGUGACUCUUUGUUGCAUGUUGAGGGAUUGUUAUAUGAUCUAUCUAUGUUAUUAUUGUUGAGAGAACUUGCACUAGUGAAAGUAUGAACCCUAGGCCUUGUUUCCUACCAUUGCAAUACCGUUUACGCUCACUUUUAUCAUUAGUUACCUUGCUGUUUUUAUAUUUUCAGAUUACAAAUACCCAUAUCUACCAUCCAUAUUGCACUUGUAUCACCAUCUCUUCGCCGAACUAGUGCACCUAUACAAUUUACCAUUGUAUUGGGUGUGUUGGGGACACAAGAGACUCUUUGUUAUUUGGUUGCAGGGUUGUUUGAGAGAGACCAUCUUCAUCCUACGCCUCCCAUGGAUUGAUAAACCUUAGGUCAUCCACUUGAGGGAAGUUUGCUACUGUCCUACAAACCUCUGCACUUGGAGGCCCAACAACGUCUACAAGAAGAAGGUUGUGUAGUAGACAUCAAGAUCUUUUCUGGCGCCGUUGCCGGGGAGGUGAGUGCUUGAAGGUAUAUCUUUAGAUCUUGCAAUCGAAUCUUUUUGUUUCUUGUUUUAUCACUAGUUUAGUUUAUAAAAGAAAACUACCAAAAAAUGGAUUUGAGUUUGUCUCAUAUGCUUCAUCUUCUUAAUAUCGUUCGUGAGUAUGAUGGAAAGGAAAAUUGUGAUCAAGUGCUAGAAGAAGAAAUCUAUAGAAUGUUGGGCACUAAAUCUUUGUAUGAUGAGCAUGAUUGCAAUGUUGUUAGUAUGAAUUCUUUGGAUACUGAUGAUGCUAAUGAUAUGCAAAGCCACAAGCUUGGGGAAGCUAUGUUUGAUGAAGAUGAUAUUUUUUGUCCCCCAAGUUUUGAUGAGAAAAUUUAUUAUGAUGAAAGCAUGCCUCCUAUUUAUGAUGAUUAUAUUGAUGAAAGUGGGUUUGGAAGAGUGUCAACUUUAGGAAGUAGUGAUCCCACUAUUUUGGAGGAUGUUGAAUCUUAUUGUGAUGAACAUGAAAGUGGAUUUGGAAGAGUGUCAACUCUAUUUAGUGAUGAUUCCACUAUUUUGGAAGAGGUUUCAAUCGAUUAUGAUGAGAACGAAGUUGCUACUUAUGAUGAUUAUUGUGAUGAAACUUAUGCUAUAAAAAGUAGUGAUGAUUAUAUUUGUAAAUCUUGUCAUGAUUAUGAUUACCCUUUUUCUGAACAUUACUCUUUUAAUGUGGAAACAAUUUUUAGUGUUCAUGUCUCUUAUGAUACUCCCACUAUUCCGAAUGAGAAGAAUUUUGCUUAUGUGGAGAGUAGUAAAAAUUCUAUGCUUGUAGAUCAUGAAAGGAAUGCUUUAGGUGCUGGUUAUAUUGUUGAAUUCAUUCAUGAUGCUACUGAAAAUUAUUAUGAGGGAGGGAUUUAUGCUUGUAGGAAUUGCAAUAAUGUCAAGUUUCCUCUCUAUGUGUUGAAAAUCUGGAAGCCAUGCUUGUGUUACCUUCCUAUGCUAGUUGAUAAUUGUUCCCAUAAGUUGUUUGAUCACAAAAUCCCUAUGCAUAGGAAGUGGGUUAGACUUAAAUUUGCUAGUCAUAAGCUUCAUGAUGCUCCCGUUAUGUUUCAUUUCUUAUCUUUUAUGUGAGCAUCAUCGUCAUCAUCAUGCCUAGCUAGAAAGGCAUUAAAGAAAAGUGCUUCUUCGGAGACAACCCAAUAUUUAUCCUUACUGUUUUUGUGUGUUCACAUGAUUAUGCUACUAUAGUAAUCAUGUUUUAUAGCUUUUGUUUCAAUAAAGUGCCAAGUAAGAUCUUUAGGAUGGCUUAGGGUGAUAGUUGUGUUGAUCCCGCUGAAAAUCAGAAACUUUUGCACCCAGUAAAUUAGUUUUGUUAAUUCACCGAAAUGUGAUUUUGAUCUGAUUAUUUUUGAUAUGGAUUGGUACACAAAUUUCUUAGGAAUUCCUAAUUUGGUAGGAUUUUUGGAGGUCCAGAAGUAUACGUUUGAUACAGAUUACUACAGACUGUUCUGUUUUUGACAGAUUCUGUGUUCUAUGUGUUGUUUGCUUAUUUUGAUGAAUCUAUGAGUAGUAUCGGAGGGUAUGAACCUUAGAUAAGUUGUAGUAUAGUAUAUAUUACACCAAUAUUAAUUUAGAAUGAGUUCAUUACAGUACCUAUGUGGUGGUUUUAUUUUGUUACACUAACGGAGCUUACAAGUUUUCUGUUGAGUUUUGUGUUGUGAAGUUUUCAAGUUUUGGGUAAAGAUUCAAUGGACUAUGGAAUAAGGAGUGGCAAGAGCCUAAGCUUGGGGAUGCCCAAGGCACCCCAAGGUAAUAUUCAUGGACAACCAAAAGCCUAAGCUUGGGGAUGCCCCGGAUGGCAUCCCCUAUUUUGUCUUCGUUCAUCGGUAACUUUACUUGGAGCUAUAUUUUUAUUCACCACAUGAUAUGUGUUUUGCUUGGAGCAUCAUUUUAUUUUGUUAGUAUUUGUUUUCUGUUAGUUAGAAUAGUGUUUUGCAUCUUUAUUUUGAAUAAAAAUGUCAAGGAUAGCCUUUGCCAUGCUUAUUUUGCUAGUAUACAUGUUGCUGUUUGAAAACAGAAAGUUUAUCGCUGUUGCAAAAAUUACCUAGAAAAGUAAGAGAAUGGUAUAAUGUUGAUUUUUUUUUCAUAUUGAGCUCUGAUAAAUUUAUUACAGUGUGAAUUUUCUUUCAUAAUUUUUGGAGUUAGGGAAGUAUGAUGAAUCUUGCAUUCUUUACAGACUAUACUGUUUUGACAGAUUGCUGUUAUGGUUGCAUUGUUUGCAUAUGUUAGCUUGUUUAAUGAUCCUAUUUGAGGAUAGGAGUGUUAAAUAUGCAGAGGCAUUUAGUAUGCAAUGUUGAAUAAUAAUUUUAGUGAUUUGUUACAGUAGAAAAUGAUAAGGUUUUGCAUUGGUUUAUACUAACCUAUCUCACGAGUUCUUGUUGAGUUUGGUGUGGAUGAAACUUUUUGACAAAAAGAGAAACCAUAAUAUGAGAGGAAUUAAGGAGACACAAAAGUUCAAGCUUGGGGAUGUCCAAGGCACGCCAAGAUAAUAUUUCAAGAAGUCUCAAGCAUCUAAGCUUGGGGAUGCCCCGGUAGGCAUCCCACCUUUCCUCUUCAACAACUAUCGGUUAGUAUUGGUUGAGCCUAAGUUUUUGCUUCUUCACAUGAGUUGUGCUAUACUUACAAUGUCAUUUUAUUUUGCUUUUCUUGCUGUUUUAAUAAAAUAGCAAGAUCUGGAAAUCUUUAAUGAGAGAGAGUCUUCACAUAGUUACAUAAUUAUUUAGCUACUCAUUGUUCUUCACUUAUAUCUUGUUGGAGUAGUUUGUCAUUUACUCGUGUGCUUCACUUAUAUCCUAUGAGUAAAUUGUUGAAUGAGUUGAUUGUCAUAAAUCUGAAAUUAUAUAUGUUUCAUUUGCUUAUCCCAUGGGGAGUUAUGACUUCACAUCUAAGAAGUAGAGGUUGUAAAUUUAUUGAAGGUUAGCAAGCAUUGUAUUGGUCAUUUGAACAAUUCAUGAAAGAAUAUUGAAGGAAGAGAGAUUUCAUAUAUAAAUACACUAUCCUAGACACCUUUUAUAAUUGGGAGCACUCAUUAAGUAUGACAUGAUAAAGAGUUGAUGUUGGACAAGGAAGACAACGUAAUGGGUUAUAUUUUCACACAUCUCAGUUAAAGUAUAUUGUCAUGGAUCAUUCAAACAUGUUGAGCUUGCCUUUCCCCCUCAUGCUAGCCAAAUUCCUUGCACCAAGUAGAGAUACUACUUGUGCUUCCAAAUAUCCUUAAACCCAGUUUUUGCCAUGAGUGUCCACCAUACCUACCUAUGGAUUGAGUACGAUCCUUCAAGUAAGUUGUCAUCGGUGCAAGCAAUAAAAAUUGCUCUCUAAAUAUGUAUGAUUUAUUAGUGCGGAGAAAAUAAGCUUUAUACGAUCUUGUUAUGGAAGCAAUAAAAGCGACAGACUGCAUAAUAAAGGUCCAUAUACAAGUGGCAAUAUAAAGUGACGUUCUUUUGCAUUAAGAUUUUGUGCAUCCAACCCUAAAAGCGCAUGACAACCUAUGCUUCCCUCUGUGAAGGGACUUUACUUUUAUGCAAGAGUCAAGGUGAUCUUCACCUUUCCCUUUUUCAUUUUAUCCUUUGGCAAGCACCACGUGUUGGAAAGAUCCUGAUAUAUAUAUCCAAUUGGAUGUAAGUUAGCAUGAACUAUUAUUGUUGACAUCACCCAAAGGUGAAUACGUUGGGAGGCAACAGUAUAAGCCCCUAUCUUUCUUAGUGUCCGAUUAAAACUCCAUAACCAUUAGUAUUGCGUGAGUGUUAGCAAUUGUCAAAGACUAUAUGAUAGUUGAGUAUGUGGAGUUUGCUAAAUCAAAGCUCUGACAUAGACCCUUCCUGAAAAUAAGAUGAAUUGUAGUUGUUUGAUGACUAUGAAUGAAGUUUGCUAGUUUAUGGUCUAUGCUUUCAACAUGUGAAUUGCUUGUUACUUGUUCGUGAGAAGUUUUAUGAGAUGAACUACUGUUAUGACAUAUAAUCAUGCUAGAAAAGGUGAUUGAAAUUAUCAUUGAUCAAACUGGUGCACCUUCUAGCAUUCACACUUCAUAAAUUCUUUCUUUUAUCAUUUACCUACUCGAGGACGAGCAGGAAUUAAGCUUGGGGAUGCUGAUAUGUCUCCAACGUAUCCAUAAUUUAUGAAGCAUUCAUGCUAUUUUAUUAUCUGUUUUGGAUGAUUACGGGCUUUAUUAUACACUUUUAUAUUACUUUUGGGACUAACCUAUUAACCAGAGGCCCAAAUCAUAUAGCUGUUUUAUUGCCUGUUUCAGUAUUUCGAAGAAAAGGAAUAUCAAACGGAGUCCAAACGGAAUGAAACCUUCGGCAGCGUGAUUUUUGGAACGAACGUGACCCAGGAAACUUGGAGUGCAAGCCAGGGGAGCAUCGAGGAAGCCACAAGAUAGGGGGCGCGCCCUACCCUCUCGUGGGCCCCUCGAGGCUCCCCCGACCGACUUCUUUCGCCUAUAUAAGCCUACAUACCCUAAAAACAUCAAAAACGAAGAUAGAGGAGUUCCGCCGCCGCAAGCCUCUGUAGCCACCAAAAACCUCUCGGGAGCCCGUUUCGGCACCCUGCCAAAGGGGGAAUCCAUCACCGGUGGCCAUCUUCAUCAUCCCGGCGCUCUCCAUGACGAGGAGGGAGUAGUUCACCCUCGGGGCUGAGGGUAUGUACCAGUAGCUAUGUGUUUGAUCUCUCUCUUUCUCUCUCGUGUUCUUUCUAUGGCACGAUCUUGAUGUAUCGUGAGCUUUGCUAUUAUAGUUGGAUCUUAUGAUGUUUCUCCCGUUCUACUCUCUUGUGAUGAAUUGAGUUUCCCCUUUGAAAUUAUCUUGUAGGAUUGAGUCUUUAAGGAUUUGAGAACACUUGAUGUAUGUCUUGCCCUGCUUAUCUGUGGUGACAAUGGGAUUUCACGUGCCACUUGAUGUAUGUUUUGGUGACCAACUUGCGGGUUCCGCCCAUGAACCUAUGCAUAGGGGUUGGCACACGUUUUCGUCUUGACUCUCCGGUAGAAACUUUGGGGCACUCUUUGAAGUACUUUGUGUUGGUUGGAUGAAUAUGAGAUUGUGUGAUGCAUAUCGUAUAAUCAUGCCCACGGAUACUUGAGGUGAAAAUGGAGUAUCUAGGUGACAUUAGGGUUUUGGUUGAUUUGUAUCUUAAGGUGUUAUUCUAGUACGAACUCUUGAAUAGAUCGAUCCGAAAGAAUAACUUUGAGGUGGUUUCGUACCCUACCAUAAUCUCUUUGUUUGUUCUCCGCUAUUAGUGGCUUUGGAGUGACUCUUUGUUGCAUGUUGAGGGAUUGUUAUAUGAUCUAUCUAUGUUAUUAUUGUUGAGAGAACUUGCACUAGUGAAAGUAUGAACCCUAGGCCUUGUUUCCUACCAUUGCAAUACCGUUUACGCUCACUUUUAUCAUUAGUUACCUUGCUGUUUUUAUAUUUUCAGAUUACAAAUACCCAUAUCUACCAUCCAUAUUGCACUUGUAUCACCAUCUCUUCGCCGAACUAGUGCACCUAUACAAUUUACCAUUGUAUUGGGUGUGUUGGCGACACAAGAGACUCUUUGUUAUUUGGUUGCAGGGUUGUUUGAGAGAGACCAUCUUCAUCCUACGCCUCCCACGGAUUGAUAAACCUUAGGUCAUCCACUUGAGGGAAAUUUGCUACUGUCCUACAAACCUCUACACUUGGAGGCCCAAGAACGUCUACAAGAAGAAGGUUGUGUAGUAGAAAUCAAACCCUAGCAUCUCGGACUCACCAAACUGCAUUUUGGUUUGACCGAAAUUGUAGGUUUAGAUUAUGUUGCUGCUUUGGUGUCAUCGAGUUUGUCAUAUCGGUAGCUCUGAAAUGCUUUCUGCAGAAAACCGAAGUUAAGUUUUUGCCUCAUUUAAAAAAAAAUAGAUGUGCUUUGUGAUGCUCAUCCAUUCUACCUAUACCUAUCUAUUCACAAGGUUAGUUUCAGAGAUGUCAGAGGGCAAUGAUAGUUAGAACAAGUCUGAGGAGCAGGUGAAUCUCAGUGAGGGCACUAGUCCCUCCAAUAGCAGUUAUGAUGAUGGUAGCAGAAGCACUCCAAGCAACUUGCCUAAGGCUGCUGAGGUAGUCCUGGAUUCGGGGGUCCUCGGGUGUUCGGCCUAUUCGAUAUGGGUCAGACUGAUGGGCCGUGAAGAUAAAACAAAAGACCAUCCCCCGUAUCCAGGUGGGACUCCUAUAUGCGUGGACGGCAAGAUUGGUGUCCAGCUGUACUAUUUCCUUUGCUUGUAAACUGAUUCUGUACAACCCUAGGUCCCUCCAGUGUCUAUAUAAACCGGAGGGUUUAGUCCGUAGAGGCCAUCAGAAUAAUCAUAGGCUAGACAGCUAGGGUUUAGCCAUUACGAUCUUGAGGUAGAUCAACUCGUGUAACCCCUAUACUCAUCGAAUACAAUCAAGCAGGACGUAGGGUUUUACCUGCUUUAAGAGCCCGAACCUGGGUAAAGACCAUGUCCCAUUGUCCCUUGUUACCAUUGAUCCUUAGACGCACAGCUUGGGCCCCCUACCCAAGAUUUUCCGGUUUUGACACCGACAUUGGUGCUUUCAUUGAGAGCUCUACUAUGUAGUCUCAAAAAGCGAUCUGUGGCUCACCUUGUCAUCAACGAUGACAUUACCUCUAGAAGGAGCCUGACUUCAGGAUAGAUCCUCCAGCUAGGCGAUUUCACCACAGGGGCCCGUACGACCAUUAAGCCAACAGCACCCCCACGAUCGCCAAACACCACCUCCGCAUCGGUCUCGAGUACUCCGAAAAGAUGGAUCCGAUAGAUGUAUUGUCCUUAAACAAGCUGCUAGAUCGCAUCUCCGCCCUGGGGGUUUCAAUGGACUAUGGUCGGAUCGGGAUUAAACCUGACCAGAGGGAAAUCAAUCUCCCGCCGAUCACCCACCUGGUAGUGCUCGUCGAAAAACGAGUCAAUGACACUUCUUCCCCUAUGUUAAAAACCAGAUAUGUUCGGGUCUCCGAACCCCUCGAGCCGCAUACCCUUCCUUCGAAGGUGAUUCCGCGUCCCUCGAACUCAGGGUCGGAAAUAGGGUCUGAGGAGCAGUUGGAUCUUGCCGGACCAGAACUGGCGACCUCGGAGAUUUUGCAUGCUUCAGACAUAGAUUUGGGUCGGGAUUCAAAUUUUAGCCCAUCAAUAGUCUCCGAACACUUCAAGCCCUCCAGACAUAUAUGACCUGAUGUAUGUAGGGAAGCAACCUCAGGAAACGGUCCAUCACUUGUGGGCCAAGUUCCUACUUGUCAAAAAACAAGAUUAAAUAUUGUUGCGACGACGACGCAUUCUCGGUUUUUCACCAUACUGAUGAGGGAAUUCGGAAUGCCCUCGACCGCCGUCGCAUACAGAGUUUCACAGAACUAUCGCAUCUAGUGCGGAAAUACUGCGAGAUGGAAAGCAUAUGGAAGUCCCAGAAAACCCAACUGGAACCAACUGCCCUCAAGCAGUAUGCGGCCCAGGCUAAACGGAUACACCCUUAUGAGGCAUCCGGCCAUAAGCCCGCCGGCCGGAAAAACAAACCCUUUACGGGAUACAGGUCUGUUCUUGAUGAACUCCUCGAUAAACCCUGUCAAUACACUCGACCCCAAGCACAGACUCAACUCACAACCUCCGUGCAUGUUGGGUACUCCGACAGGUAGCUAAGAGUAGGGAGGCGAUCCUCUCCAUCACCACUCCAGAGAAAUACUCUCCGAAGGAGGACGAUUUUAAUGUUCUCAUGGUCUUCGAGAUCUUAUCUUCAAAUAAUCGGCGUAAAAGGGCACCCCGCAACCUCGCCGAAGUCCACCAAGUACCUGCACUGAGCCCAUGGAACGACGCGGCAAUAACCUUCACCACCAAUGACAAACCAAAGGCCCGAUCAGUCCGAGCACCCACUGCUCUAGUACUAAACCCCAUUGUGGAUGGCUUUCGACUCACCAAAGUGCUCAUGGACAACGGAAGUGGCCUCAACCUCAUCUACGAGGACACACUCAACAAAAUGCAGAUUGACAAAACACGCAUCGAGCAAAGCAGCACCACCUUUCAAGGCAUCAUCCCCAGUCAAGAAGCUCGAUGCUCCGGGAGAAUUAAAUUGGAUGUAGUAUUCGGCACACUGACAAUUAUAGGUCCGAAGAGUUUCUCUUCCAUGUGGUCCCCUUCAACAACAGAUAUCACGCCAUCCUCGGGCGGGAUGCUUUAUCAUGCUUCCAAGCUAUACCCCAUUACGGGUACAUGAAGCUUAAUAUGCCAGGGCUCAAUGGAAUAAACACAAUUUCGAGUGACCCGGAUAAAGCACUCUGUGCCGAAAAUAAGACCGCAUCCUUGGCCCUUGAGGCACUAUCCGAAGCCUUAGCGGCCGAAGAACUAACCAACCUACGAUCCACGGUGGACAAGGAUGAUAUGAUUCUCGAUAAGAGACCUAAAUCCACUUCUUUCAAGCUACCAGAUGAAAUAGUUAAAUUUCAAGUGCACCCGACGGACCCUAAUAAAACAAUGUCCAUCGGAGCACAGCUGGAUUCGGCAGUAGACGCCACCUUACGCGCAUUCAUGCGCGAAAAAUGGGAUAUCUUUGCAUGGCACCCUUCAGAUAUGCCCGAGAUCCCACGCAAACUGGCCGAACACAUCCUCAACAUAAUUAAAGGGUUCAAACCAGCCAAGCAAACGCUAUGGCGAUUUUCCAAACCCAAGCGACAAGCUAUGGGGGAAGAGCUAGCCAAACUUCUCGAGGCCGUGUACAUAAGAGAAAUCAAACACCCGGAUUGGCUAGCCAACUUGGUCAUGGUGCCAAAGAUGGAUAAAUCUUGGCGCCUUUGUGUCGAUUUCAAAGACCUUAAUAAAGCUUGCCCCAAAGAUCAUGUCUCGUUGCCCCGCAUUAACCAGAUCAUCGAUGCGAUCGCAGGACACAACUCACUAUGUUUCCUCAACGCUUACUUUGGAUACCAUCAUAUUAAAAUGAAGGAGUCCAACUAGGACACAAUGGUGUUCAUCACCCUGUAUGGCCCUUUCGGUUUCAACACUAUGCCUUUCGGCCUUAAAAAUGUUGGUGCCACUUACCAAGGCAUGAUUCAAACAUGCUUGGAAAAACAAAUCGGCAACACAGUUGAAGCAUAUGUGGAUGAAGUGGUCAUGAAAACCAAACACGUCGACUCACUAGUGGACGAUCUCCGCCUCACCUACGAUAACCUCCAAACAUACGAUAUACGGCUCAAUCCGGAAAAAUGUGUCUUCGGUGUCCCGGGCGGAAAGCUACUAGGGUUCAUUGUUUCCCAUAAAGGAAUUGAAGCAAACCCAGCUAAGAUCCGAUCCCUGUCACAAUUGGCUAUACCAAUAGACCGAAAGCAGGUCCAAAAACUAGCAGGGUGCAUAGCGGCUUUAAGCCGCUUUAUCUCCAGAUUAGGUGAAAAAGCAUUACCACUUUACAUACUGCUUAGAUGCACCGACAACUUUGAAUGGGCGGACGCUGCCACAGCCGGAUUGGAACAAAUAAAAACCUUACUAGCAGGCAACACAAUCCUAGCUGCCCCGGGUGUUGGCGAACCUAUGUUGCUUUAUAUUUCCGCAACUCACCAGGUAGUAAGCGUUGUACUCGUUGUUGAGCGAGGGAAGAGGGGCAUAAAUUCCCCAUCCAAAAGCCAGUCCAUUACGUAUCGGAGGUCGUCACACCAUGCAAAUCCCGAUACCCCCACUACCAAAACAUAGCUUGUACGGUCUUUAUGGCAUCCUGAAAACUUUGACACUAUUUUCAGGAGUGUUCGAUCACGGUCGCAUCUGAAGUACCACUUAACGACGUUAUCAACAAUAGGGACGCCACUGGUCGCAUAACUAAAUGGGCCAUUGAGAUCUUACCGUUCGAAAUAACAUACAAGCCAUGCCGAGCUAUUAAAUCUCAGGUGUUGGCCGACUUCGUCGUCGAGUGGACGGAAGCCGAGCUCCCUAAAGAAUACAUUUCAUACUCCAACUAGAUCAUGUACUUCAAUGGCUCUAAAAUGCUAUCCAGAUUGGGGGUUGGCGUCAUUUUGACAUCCCCUAUGGGGGACACAGUCUGCUAUGUGUUGCAAAUCCUGUAUACAGACUCUAAUAGUGCAGCCGAAUACGAGGCGCUUCUACAUGGUCUCCGCAUGGCUGUUUCCAUGGGUAUACAAUGCCUAGAGGUACGCGGUGAGUCAAAACUCGCAAUAUCUCAGGUAAAUGGAGAGUUCGAUGCAAAAGAUCCAAAAAUGGUGGCAUAUGAAAUGUCCUAUUAAAAAUAUUGGCUCGGUUUGAGGGGCUUGAAUUCCAUCAUGUCGCUUGAGAUAGUAACCAGGCAGCCGACAUCCUCGCUCGCAUGGGCGCCAAGCACGACCCCGUCCCACCUAAUACCUUUGUGAAAAGGCUAUUUAAGCCAUCUAUGGUGUGGUAGGGAGAGAACGGCGAUGCUAGUACAGACCUAGUCACACACCCAGCAGCCGAACACAAUACAUAUAUCAUUGGAGGUUCGGAUGUUGAAGUAACACCCUCUGCUCAUGAGAUCAUGGCUGUUAUUGCUCCAUGGAUCAAACCUUUGCUGGCCUAACUUAAUAGGCAGGAGCUUCCUGAUGACCAAAAUGAGGCUCGUCGCAUAGCUCGGCGUUCUAAGGCCUACAAAGUUCACGAAGGUGAACUGUACAAGAAGAGCACUACUGGAGUUCUCCAAAGGUGCAUCUCCGAAGAGGAGGGAUGGCAGCUCUUGGAGGAAAUACAUGCUAGUCUGGGCGGUCAUCAUGCUGCAACUCAGGCACCCGUAAGUAAAGCUUUUCGGACGGGUUUUUUUAUGGCCAAUGGACCGAGGAGACGCACAAGCCCUUGUCCAACAUUAUGUGGGCUAUCAGCUUUUUGCCAAUCAAAGUCAUAUGCCUCCCACUUCCUUAAGAACAAUCCCCAUCACCUGGCCCGUCAUGGUCUGGGGGCUUGAUAUGGCUGGACCACUUAAAGGGGGAAGCCAUAAAAAGAAAUAUUUACUGGUGAUGGUAGAUAAAUUCACUAAAUGGAUAGAGGCCAAACUAGUAAAAAUAGCCGAAGCAGGGCCAGUGAUUGACUUUAUAUCCAGUGUGGUGCACCGCUACGGUGUCCCACACAACAUCAUCACUGAUAAUGCCUCCAAUUUUAUAGCUGAUGAGGUGAAAAACUGGUGUGCUAAGUUGGGCAUUAAACUCAACUAUGCAUCUGUCUACCACCCUCAAACAAACGGUCAGGUUGAACGGGCCAAUGGCCUGAUAAUGGCUGGCAUCAAGCCCAGACUGGUGCGCUCCUUAUGAGAAUCAGACAAGCACUGGGUUGAGGAACUCAAUUCCGUACUCUGGGGGUUGUGGACCAUGCAUAAUCGAACGACCGGAUACACACCUUUCUUCAUGGCAUACAGCGCAGAAGUUGUCCUGCCCUACAACAUUAUUCAUGACUCACCUUGAGUGCGCAUGUAUGAAGAGCGAGAAGCCAAGCUUGAUCUGUAGGAUGACCUAGACCGACUCGAAGAGGAGCACGAUGUUGCGAAAAUCCAUUCCACAUUUUAUCAACAACAGGCCAGGCGAUACCAAAGCAGAGAAGUGCGGGCCAAGACAUAUAAUGUCGGUGACCUUGUCUUACGUCUCCCGGAGAAGAAGAAGGAUAAGCUCAAACAAAAAUGGGAAGAUCCCUUCAUCAUAGAUGAAGUUCGUAUAGGAGGAGCCUAUCGCCUUCGUAAUGCAUCGGAUAAUCGCCUUGAGCCGAAUCCAUGGAACGCCGAUCGGCUCCGAAGAUUCUAUGGAUAGUUCGGUCGCACUCUCUUUAUUUUUUACUUUGAAUAGGUUUCUCCUUCUCCUCUCCUUAUUUUUUUCGUUUUUAUAUCCCAGGGCAUGUUCGGAUCAACCGAACUGUUCGGGGUACACAUCUUUAAAUGUAUACACCCCACUAUAACUGGGGGCUUAUUUAAUGAAGCUUAUUGUUAAAAGCUUGUGGCUUACACUAUCUAUGUCUUACAUCUUUUUGACAUUAUAUGCACCUCUAUGACUUAAGUUUUUGCCAAGAUGGGUUGCCUCGCUCCUGUGCUUAUACCCUACAUUCCCGAUUGUUUGGCUAGGGUGUAAAGGGAGUACCUCUGUGAUUGUUACAACCAGGUAAUCCGGAUAUGUACCUCAGACGGGUGAAGCCAAAGGCUAGCGUUCUUAAGGGAAUAUUUGGUCGGCAAGCAAUGACGGACUAAUUAUGUUUACAUAAUUCUUCUAAACAAAUACAGGAUAGGCUGCCCGUAAUUCAGAUUCAAGCCUAGGCAUGCAUAAUUCAACAUACCGACCCAAGGAAAGGAACCCCUAAUGGAACUAUUUUCCCUGGAAGAUGUUUCUUACGUUAAAUAGUAAUAUAACAUAACUCCCUGAACAAAUUUUGUCCGUUUGAGCAAUAUGACCGGAUUGCCUGGUUUCUAGACAUACUGAAUGGUUAUUACAUUCCAACACAUUAUCCGGAAACACUCCAACUUCUUGGUUCAGAGGUGGAAGCCGAAGGCCUGCGAUGACAAAUUUUGACAAGUUCGGCCAGAGAUACAGUUCGAUGAUAAAGUACAUUGGUACAUAGAAUCGAACGCCUACUCUUUCUCUAUGCCAUAUAUCAGACUAUCUAACCUAUAGUCUUCUUGCGAAUAUUUCGCAGCUAUCAUCACUUGAUUGUUGCAAACUCUUGAGCUUGGGUUGGUUUUCCCUUGAAGAGGAAACGGUGAUGCAGCAAAGAACCGUAAGUAUUUCCCUCAGUUUUGAGAACCAAGGUAUCAAUCCUGUAGGAGACGAUGCACAAGUUAUCAAAUACCUGCACAAACAAUCAAGAACUUGCAACCAACACGAUAAAGGGGUUGUCAAUCCCUUCAUGGUCACUCGCAAAAGUGAGAUCUCAUAGAGAUAGAUAAACGGUAAAGUAAAUAUUUUUGGUAUUUUUGGGUGUAUAGAUUGGAAAGUAAAGAUUGCAAAAUAAUAUAUCGCAAACUAGUAAGAUGUAAAUGAGAUUCAAUAUAAUGGAAAAGAGACCCAGGGGGCCAUAGGUUUCACUAGUGGCUUCUCUCGAGAUAGCAUAUAUUACGGUGGGUGAACAAAUUACUGCUGAGAAAUUGAUAGAAAAGCGCAUAAUUAUGAUGACAUCUAAGGCAAUGAUCAUGAACAUAGGCAUCACGUCUGUGUCAAGUAGACCAACUCAUGCCUGCAUCUACUACUAUUACACCACACAUCGACCGCUAUCCAUCAUGCAUCUAGAGAAUUAAGUUCAUAAAGAACGCAGUAAAGCAUUAAGCAAGAUGGCAUGAUGUUGAGGAAUUAACUCAAGCAAUAUGAUCAAAAUCCCAUCUUGUUAUCCUUGAUGGCAACAAUACAAUAUGUGUCUUGCUACCCCUACUUUUAGUGGGAAAGGACACUGCAAGAUUGAACACAAAGCUAAGCACUUCUCCCAUUGCAACAAAUAUCAAUCUAGUAGGCCAAACUAAACCGAUAAUUCGAAGAGACUUGCAAAGAUAUCAAAUCAUGCAUAUAAGAAUUCAGAGAAGAACCAAAUAAUAUUCAUAGAUAAUCUUGAUCAUAAAUCCACAAUUCAUCGAAUCCCAACAAACACACCGCAAAAGAGAAUUACAUCAAAUAGUUCUAAAAGAACAUCAAGGAGAACUUUGUAUUGAGAAUCAAAGAGAGAGAAGAAGCCAUCUAGCUAAUAACUAUGGACCCGAAGGUCUGUGGUAAACUACUCACGCUUCAUCGGAGAGGUAAUGGUGUUGAUGUACAAGCCCUCCGUGAUCGAAUCCCCCUCCGGCAGAUCAUCGGAAAAGGCCCCAAGAUGGGAUCUCACAGGUACAGAAGGUUGCAAUGGUGGAAAAGUGGUUUCGUGGCUCCCCCUGAUGUUUUUAGGGUAUAAGAGUGUAUAUAGGCGAAGGCACUAGGUCAGGGGAGCUACAAGGGGCCCACGAGGGUGGGGGUGCGCCUACCCCCCUGGGCGCGCCCUCCUGCCUCAUGGAUGCCUUGUUGCCUCUCCGACUUCAUCUCCAAGUCUUCUGGUUUGCUUUCGGUCCAAGAAAGAUCAUUGCGAAGGUUUCAUUCCGUUUGGACUCCGUUUGGUAUUCCUUUUCUGCAAAACUCUAAAAUAGGCAAAAAAGUAGAAACUAGCACUGGGCCCUCGGUUAAUGUGUUAGUCCAAAAAAUAAUAUAAAAUAGCAUAUUAAAGCCCAUUAAACAUCCAAAACAGAUAAUAUAAUAGCAUGGAACAAUCAAAAAUUAUAGAUACGUUGGAGACGUAUCAAGCAUCUCCAAGCUUAAUUCCGCCUCGUCCUUGAGUAGGUAAAUGAUAAAAACAGAAUUUUUGAUGUGGAAUGCUAUCUAACAUAUUUAUCAAUAUAAUUUUCUUUAUUGUGGCAUGAAUGUUCAGAUCCGAAAGAUUCAAGACAAAAUUUUAAUAUUGACAUAAAAACAAUAAUACUUCAAGCAUACUAACAAAGCAAUCAUGUCUUCUCAAAAUAACAUGGCCAAAGAAAGCUAUCCCUACAAAAUCAUAUAGUCUGGCUAUGCUCUAUCUUCAUCAAAAAAUAAUUAAUCAUGCACAACCCCGAUGACAAGCCAAGCAAUUGUUUCAUACUUUUGAUAUUCUCAAACUUUUUCAAUCUUCACGCAAUACAUGAGCAUGAGCCAUGGACAUAGCACUAUAGGUGGAAUGGAAUGGUGGUUGUGGAGAAGACAAAAAGGAGAAGAUAGUCUCACAUCAACUAGGCGUAUCAACGGGCUAUGGAGAUGCCCAUCAAUAUAUAUCAAUGUGAGUGAGUAGGGAUUGCCAUGCAACGGAUGCACUAGAGCUAUAAGUGUAUGAAAGCUCAAAAAGAAACAAAGUGGGUGCGCAUCCAACUCGCUUGCUCCCGAAGACCUAGGGUGAGGAAGCCCAUCAUUGGAAUAUACAAGCCAAGUUCUAUAAUGAAAAUUUCCCACUAGUAUAUGAAAGUGACAACAUGGGAGACUCUCUAUCAUGAAGAUCAUGGUGCUACUUUGAAGAACAGGUGUAGAAAAGGAUAGUAGCAUUGCCCCUUCUCUCUUUUUCUCUCAUUUUUUAUUUAUUUGGGCCUUCUCUCUCUUUUUUUGGGCCUCUCUUUUUUUAUUUCUCGUCUGAAGUCUCAUCCCGACUUGUGGGGGAAUCAUAGUCUCCAUCAUCCUUUCCUCACAUGGGACAAUGCUCUAAUAAUGAAGAUCAUCACACUUUUAUUUACUUACAACUCAAGAAUUACAACUCAAUACUUUGAACAAAAUAUGACUCUAUGUGAAUGCCUCCGGCGGUGUACCGGGAUGUGCAAUGAUUCAAGAGUGACAUGUAUGAAAGAAUUAUGAAUGGUGGCUUUGCCACAAAUACGAUGUCAACUACAUGAUCAUGCAAAGCAAUAUGACAAUAAUGAAGCGUGUCAUAACAAAUGGAAUGGUGGAAAGUUGCAUGGUAAUAUAUCUCGGAAUGGCUAUGGAAAUGCCAUAAUAGGUAGGUAUCGUGGCUGUUUUGAGGAAGGUAUAUGGUGGGUGUAUGGUACCGACGAAAGUUGCGCAGUACUAGAGAGGCUAGCAAUGGUGGAAGGGUGAGAGUGUGUAUAAUCCAUGGACUCAACAUUAGUCAUAAAGAACUCACAUACUUAUUGCAAAAAUCUAUUAGUUAUCAAAACAAAGUAUUACGCGCAUGCUCCUAGGGGGAUAGAUUGGUAGGAAAAGACCAUCGCUCGUCCCCGACCGCCAGUCAUAAGGAAGAUAAUCAAUAAAUAUAUCGAAAAAUAAAAAGCAGGGCAAUCUUUCAAACUUGCAUCCGAAAUGUGAAAUAUUUAUACAAAGAGGGAGAGAUGAAGACAAUGCAGCAGGGUUGGUUAUCUAAUUGGCUAGUCAAACAUGAGGUGGUUCAUCUCCAACUUCAUCACAUAACGGUUCACCAUACGUGCAUGCUACGGGAGUCACAAACUUUAACACAAGUAUCUCUCAAAUUCAAAACUACUCUACUAGCAUGACUCUAAUAUCACCAUCUUCAUAUCUCAAAACAAUCAUAAAGAAUCAAACUUCUCAUAGUAUUCAAUGCACUUCAUAUGAAAGUUUUUAUUAUACCCAUCUUGGAUGCCCAUCAUAUUAGGACUAUUUUAUAACCAAAGAAAAUUACCAUGCUGUUUUAAAAGACUCUCAAAAUAAUAUAAGUGAGGCAUGAGAGUUCAACAAUUUUAUAAAAUAAAACCACCGCCGUGCUCUUAAAAUAUAUAAGUGAAGCACUAGAGCAAUAUUGUCUAGCUCAAAAGAUAUAAGUGAAGCACAUAGACUAUUCAAAUAAAUCCCGAUUCAUGUGUGUCUCUCCCCAAAUGUGUGUACAGCAAGGAUGAUUGUGGUAAACUAAAAAGCAAAGGCUCAAAUCAUACAAGACGCUCCAAGCAAAACACAUAUCAUGUGGUGAAUAAAAAUAUAGCCUCAAGUAAAGUUACCGAUAGACGAAGACGAAAGAGGGGAUGCCUUCCGGGGCAUCCCCAAGAUUAGGCUUUUGGUUUUCCUUGAAUUUUACCUUGGGGUGCCUUGGGCACCCCCAAGCUUAGGCUCUUGCCACUCCUUAUUCCAAAGUCCAUCAAAUCCUUACCCAAAACUUGAAAACUUCACAACACAAAACUUUAACAGAAAAUCUCAUGAGCUCCAUUAGUAUAAGAAAAUAAAUCACCACUUUAAGGUACUGUUUUGAACUCAUUAUUUAUUUAUAUUGGUGUUAAACCUACUGUAUUCCAACUCCUCUAUGGUUCAUACCCCCCGAUACUACUCAUAGAUUCAUCAAAAUAAGCAAACAACACGCGAAAAACAGAAUCUGUCAAAAACAGAAUAGACUGCAGUAGUCUGUAACUUUCUAAUACUUAUGUAACUCCAAAAUUUCUGAAAUAAAUUGGUGGACGUGAGGAAUUUUUCUAAUAAUCUUCUGAAAAAAUAAUCAACCUAAAAACACUCUUCUAUAAAUAAUGACAUCUAAUCUUGUGAGCGCAAAAGUUUAUGUUUUUUACAGCAAGAUCACAUUGACUUCACCCAAGUCUUCCCAAAGGUUCUACUUGGCACAAAUACUAAUUAAAACUUAAAACCAUAUAUAACCAGAGGCUAGAUAGAUUAUUUAUUACUAAACAGGAUAAAAAAUCAAAGAACAAAAAUAAAAUUGGGUUGCCUCCUAACAAGCGCUAUUGUUUAACACCCAUAGCUAGGCAUUGAUAAUUUUAAAGAUGCUCACAGAAUUGAAGCACAAAGAGAGCAUCAUAUAGCACAUGACAAACACAUAUAAGUCUAACAUGCUUCCUAUGCAUAGGCAUUUUAUAAGCAAACAAAUUAUCAUGGCAAGUGUCAGUGUCAAAACCGGUGGAUCUCGGGUAGGGGGUCCCGAACUGUGCGUCUAAGGCUAAUGGUAACAGGAGGCGGGGGACACAAUGUUUACCCAGGUUCGGGCCCUCUCGACGGAGGUAAUACCCUACUUCCUGCUUGAUUUAUCUUGAUGAUAUGAGUAUUACAAGAGUUGAUCUACCACGAGAUCAUAGAGGCUAAACCCUAGAAGUUAACCUAUGAUUAUGAUUGUUGUUGUCCUACGGACUAAACCCUCCGGUUUAUAUAGACACCGGAGGGGGCUAGGGCUGCACAGAGUUGGUUACAGAGAAGGAGAUCUACAUAUCUGAAUUGCCAAGCUUGCCUUCCACGCAAAGGAGAGUCCCAUCCGGACACGGGACGAAAUCUUGAAUCUUGUAUCUUCAUAGUCCAACAGUCCAGCCAAAGUACAUAGUCCAGCUGUCCGAGGACACCCUAAUCCAGGACUCCCUUAGUAGCCCCUGAACCAGGCUUCAAUGAUGAUGAGUCCGGCGCGCAGAUUGUCUUCGGCAUUGCAAGGCGGGUUCCUUCUCCGAAUACUCCAUGAAAGAUCUUGAACACAAGGAUCGUGUCCGGCUCUGCAAAACAAUUUCCACAUACCACCGUAGAGAGCAUAAUAUUCCACAAAUCUAAUCAUCUGACAACUCUUUAUAGCAUGACAUCACGUCGCGGCCCGGUCAUUACGAACCUUUUUUUCCCAGCCUGCCACUGCACGUGUUACGAGGCUGUUUUAUUGGCACGUCUUGUCGAAGCAGAGAUCGUGUUCCCCUUAUCACGGGAUUCUCAUCAAUACGGGUGUGGGUAACCCAACCGUGCUUGUUAGUAUGACUCCUCGAUUUUAGGCAAGUUCCAAACGGCCGGGCGGAGGACGCUUGAUAUUCACCCCCUUUAUAAAGGGGCCAAGGCCUGUCUUUUUCUUCCCACGCUCGAUCCUUCCCUUCCCCCACCUCGAGUUCCAACACCCAAGGCUUAGGCUAAGCGCUUCGAACCUUCCACCAUGUCCGGAUCCAACUCUCAAGGUCGGUGGAUGGCCUCCUCUAUCACAGAGGAGGACAUCAAGAAGCUUAGGGAGGCUAGGUAUCUGACCGCUGAAAUCCCUCACAGGCUGCCUGCUCAAGGGCAGGUCUUCCCCACUCCCGAACCCCACGAGAGUGUCAUAUUUGUUUCCCACUUCCUCCGAGGGCUAGGCUUUAGUCUUGAUCCUUUUGUUAGAGGGCUCAUGUUCUAUUACGGUCUAGAUUUCCAUGAUCUAGCUCCGGAUUCCAUCCUUCACAUCUCGUCGUUUAUCGUCGUGUGUGAGGCCUUCCUCCGCAUCACCCCACACUUUGGCUUGUGGCUCAAGACCUUCAAUGUGAAGCCGAAGAUGAUCGAUGGGCGACACAUAGAGUGCGGAGGCGCUAUAAUAAGCAAAGGCGCCAACGCCCUAUGGCCAAAGGGUUCCUUCUCGAAGGUGUAUGGCUUAUGGCAACGGGAGUGGUUUUAUAUCACAGCUCCCCGAGGUACAAAGCGGGCGGUCGCCCCUACCUUACGCUCGGGCCCUCUGCCUCAACUGGCGUCAUGGGUCAACAAGGGACUGGAUUGGGGGCUAGUUAAUGAUGUGUUGACAUUGCAAAGCCGCAUCCGAGAUCUCCUCAAGAGGGAUGUCAGUCUUAUCAAGGUAAUGCAAGUUAUGCUAGUUCGUCGGGUCCUGCCAUGCCAACGCCGAUCUCUCUGUAUGUGGGAGUUCAACCCGGAAGGACCGCGAACUAUUCAACAAUUCUUCGGCGUGACGCUCGAAGAGAUGUAUGGAUUGUUCUUCGGAUCACGAAUAAAGUGUCCGGAUACCACCGAGGAUGCGGGUCUAAACUACAACCGUCCAGAUACCCAAGUAAGUAGUUCCGCGACCGAACAUGCUAUCUUUUUACUUGUCACAACAUCAUUCUGAAAUAUUGCUCUCGGCCAGGACUGGAUAAGAAAGGCGGAGAGGAUCAGGUGUUCGCCCCCCUUCCCUAAGGAUCGCCGGAUCCUGUACUAACCAGGAUGCUCGAGCGCGCGCCCUAUAAGGUGCCCUCAGGAGAAGAUUAAGGGAGCAAUAGAGAAGCCAAAGGCGGGCUUCAUACCUUACACAUCCAAACCGGGGGAGUAAGUGCCUCCGUGAAGGAGAAUAAUUGGGGAGGUGAAUCUAGAGUCCACUCUCCUCACGGAAAGAAAAGGGCCACCUCUAAAGACUUGGAAACGGAGUUUUCCAAACGAGGGAAGAAACCUUCGCAAGGGGGCCCUGAGGGAGUCCUGGAUUAGGGGGUAUCCGGAUAGCCGGGCUAUAUACUUUGGCCGGAUUGUUGGACCAUGAAGAUACAAGACUCAAGACUUCGUCCCGUGUCCGGAUGGGACUCUCCUUUGCGUGGAAGACAAGCUUGGCGAUCCGGAUGUUAGAUCCCCUUCUUUGUAACCGACUCUGUGUAACCCUAGCCUCCUCCGAUGUCUAUAUAAACCGGAGGGUUUAGUCCGUAGGACAACAACAAUCAUAAUCAUCAUAGGCUAGCUUCUAGGGUUUAGCCUCUACGAUCUCGUGGUAGAUCUACUCUUGUAAUACUCAUAUCAUCAAGAUCAAUCAAGCAGGAAGUAGGGUAUUACCUCCAUCGAGAGGGCCCGAACCUGGGCAAAACAUCGUGUCCCCUGCCUCCUGUUACCAUUAGCCUUAGACGCACAGUUCGAGACCCCCUACCCGAGAUCCGCCGGUUUUGACACCGACAUUGGUGCUUUCAUUGAGAGUUCCUCUGUGUCGUUGCUGCAAGGCUUGAUGGAUCCUUCAAUCAUCAACAACAAAGUGGUCCAGGGUGAGACUUUUCUCCCCGGACAGAUCUUCGUGUUCGGCGGCUUCGCACUGCGGGCCAAUUCGCUUGGCCAUCUGGAGCAGAUCGACAGCUACGUCCCUGGCCAUCAGGUCAGGUUCGGAAACUUGAACUACAUGACCGAUAUCCGCGGAGACUUGAUCUUCGAUGGAUUCGGGCCUAUGCCAGGAGCGCCGAACAGUCACGACGAGCACGGCUUAGACCUGCUGUCAGACAAUACUCGGGAUAUCGCACCCGCAAGAGCUCCGGACCUAAAUCCGGGACAGAUCGCAUCGUUCGAGGACAGGUGGAUGGACCCCGCCCCGGAGGCCGCAUACUCAUCGGCGGUAGAGCCAAACAUGCACUCCACCCCCAAGGAGGUCUGUGUCACUGGACCCCCGGACUUGUGUCCGGCUGUAGGUUCCAGACCACGCGCCCCCGAGCCCGUCGAAUCUGGUUGGGCUCCGGUAAUGGAGUUCACCGCUGCAAAUAUCUUCCAGCACUCGCCCUUUGGCGACAUGCUAAAUUCAUUAAAGUCUCUCUCUUUGUCAGGAGACUCUUGGCCGAACUAUGUCCGGCUCGAGUGCGAAGCAGGCGACGAGAAAAUUCGUUGCCCACCCACCACCCACUUUAUUGCCAUAGUCGAUGAUUUGACCGACGUGCUUGUCUUCGACUCUGAAGACAUCGACGGUGUGGACGACGAUGCAGGAGAAGAACGGGAACCACCGCCCACGGGGCGCUGGACAGCCACCUCCUCGUAUGAUAUAUAUAUGGUGGACACUCCCAAAGAAACCAAUGGCGAUGAGGCAAUGGAGGAUAACCCCUCAAGUAAGAAAUCAAAGCAUGGGCGUCAUCAGCGCCGCUCCAAGCCCCGCCAUAGCAAUACCGGCACAGGAGACGAAAACAAUCCGGAUGGUGCCGAAGAUGAAUACAAUUCCGAUCAGCCUGCCUUCAAGUAGGCCGAACAGGAAGACGGGCAGGUCAGCCCAGACGAACAGGCAACGGACGAAUACUUGGAGGAGGACAACUACAUGCCCCCCCUCCAAAGAUGAGGUGAGCCUCGGUGAUGAAUUCUACGUGCCUGAGGAUCCCGUAGAGCAGGACCGCUUCAAGCGCCGGCUUAUGGCCACUGCAAGAAGCCUGAAAAAGAAGCAGCAGCAGCUCCAAGCUGAUCAAGAUCUGCUCACAAACAGAUGGACUGAGGUCCUGGCAGCCGAGGAAUACGGACUCGAGCGCCCCACCAAAGGGUACCCAAAACACAAGUUGCUACCUCAACUCGAGGAGGAGGUCCCAAAGCCCACGCCCCGACAACAAUACAUCACGGUCCGGGGCAAUACGUAGGAAAUGAGAGGCAGCAUCCAUAAACCUUGACGCAACAGACAUAAGCGUCACAAAAAUCACGAUGAUGCCCAAGACACGACAGUCGAUGCCGGAUUCCGCGGCUCUCAGUCCGCUCAGAAGAAAGAGAACAAUAUAGACCCAUCCGGCCCGGGCAGCAUACUCGACCAACCAUGUCAAAUUCAUGGUACCCCUGGAAUGGCAGCCAAUCAUACCAAUGGAGAAUGCCGGAUCUUCAAAAUAAGCUGGUCGGUCACACGCCGGAAACAUUCAAGAAGGGGUCUCAAAGCUAUGAAGACAACGAGGAGCCCAGACCAUCAAACAUUAUGAGGUAAAAGAAAAAUCCUCCGCAAACCAACAAGGGAACGAAUGUGUACUCCUCAGGAUGCCGACUUAACAAUACAAGUCACCCCACGGUACAAAAAUACGGCUGAUCAUCUCCGAUCACACAGACCGUCCAGACCAUUUCAACCAUGGCAAUUUAAUUGCACUUACCAUCGACCCAAUAGUUGGUGGGUUCCACCUCACACGAGCCCCUAUGGGCAUAAACAGCAGCCCAAACUUGCUGCGCCAGGACACAAUUCACCAGAUAGGUAUUGACCGCUCGAGGAUCAAACCCACUAAAAGCAUCUUCUCAAAGAUGUCGUUCCAUGUGCAAAGGCCAAGUUUUACAGGCCCACCACCCUGGAGGUGGUCUUCGGAUCACCAAACAAACACCAUACCGAAGAGUAAGUCUUCAGCAUUAUCCCCUUAUACAGUAACUAUUAUAUACUACCGGGACGAACCACGUUGGCUCGAUUCAACACGGUGCCACACCAUGCCAAACCCACGUGACAUAGUCACAACUAUGGGCAAGGCCGAACUCCACCCCGACACUGGAAAAUAUACCGUCGCUGUGGUAGCGAGUUGUGCCUUUCUAUCGAACCUCGAUUCGACAGCCAAACCCCCGGACACCAAUAAAGGAGUCCGAGCUACUUUACGACAUGAUAGCCCGGCUCGACUAGGAUCCAAUUAAGCACUCCGGCAUAAGCUGGGGAGGAGCCCCAAGGUUCAACGACCCUAUAACACGCAAAUGCCUCUAAACAUUUUUCUUUACAGGCUCACUUUUGCGCAGAACAGGACUGGCGACAUGGAAUCAGCUCAGACGCACGAAGCGGGAAUACACAAGUAUUCCCCAAGAAGAUAGUCCGGGUACACUUCAGAUCCGUACACAGCUUCCUCCCGUCAGGCCGCGACAGGUUCCGCCAGCAUACCUCUUUUCGUAGCAUAAACCGUACUCAUACGCAUAGACGUGUCACUCCACUACAACAUGUAGAACUGAACGACACUUACCAGCCGUCAUUCCUCAUUGACGCCUUUUUCGUCAUCACGGCACCCGCACAUAGUGUCAUGCCCCAUUAUGCCAGGGGCUUCAUUGUACUCAUAAUAUGGCAACAAAGUCCGGCCACCUUCUCGGUCGCUCGGCACCCCGAACUUAUAGCACUAUAUGCAUCAGCUCUGAAUCAUGUCUUGGGUCAUUAGUUGGGUUUGCCUGGCUCCCAUGUUUUGGUACCUUACGUUCCACUCCAUCGUCUAAGGUAGCGCUGGGAGAACUACUGCGAUUGUGUCCCGGUUCUUCCGGAUGAGCACCUAAGUAGAGAAAGCCGAAAACUGACUGUCAUGAUACGGCGAGAGCUGGUCAGCUGUUUGAGAGGUUGUAAAAUCUUUAAGGAUUUAUUACGCAUAAUGCCAUACCAAAUGCAGAGUGCGACGGAUCGGUCCUCUGAUCAGGCGCAUUUAGAGCCCCUCGUACGGUCUUCCGAACACCAGGGGUUGUGCCUACCAUACUCGAAUUCCUAUGGCUAAGUGAGAGUGUUAAAGCCCUAUAGUCCGAUUGCCUGGUUCGCUGUGAUGAACACCUCCUUCAAGGACCCAAAAAUGGGAUAAAGAGUGUUCAGGUAUGACCCGAACACCCCCGUACUUUCUACAUGGGGGCAGAAGCCGACGACUAGCCAACUCUCAGGAUUCAUAUAUAUCAAACGGCCACAGAGGAAGAAAAAACUUUCAUAUAACAGGCAAUAAAUAAUAACAGUGCCAGUGUUCCGCAUUACAAAGGACAGCAUGACUGUCUUCAGGGAAAUAUAAUGUCUUUGGUACAUUGCUCCGCCACAAGGCGGGCUCCUUUCAGGACACCAUCAUAAUAUAAUUCGGGCUUGCGGUGCUCCUUACCCUCCGGUGGUCCCUCAGUCAUCAGCUUUUUAGCAUCAAGCUUCCCCCAGUGCACUUCCGCACGGGCAAAUGCCAUGUGUGCACCUUCUAUAUAGAUUGACCGCUUAAUGACUUCGAGCCGAGGGCAAGCACCAACAAUCCGCUUCACGAGUUCGAAGUAACUGCUUGGAAUUGGCUCAGCGGGCCACAGCCGGACAACUAAGUCCUUCAUGGCUAGUUCAGCCGCCUGGUGCAGUUCGAUCAGCUGCUUCAGCUGAUCGACAAAGGGCACCAGAUAAUUCGGCGCCAAAUACUGCGACCAGAAAUCCUUUUCCACAGACUUCUUCUCCUCAGCCCGGUAGAAUUGAGCAGCAUCAGAUAUGCUGCGUGGCAGGUCUGCAAGCGCCCCUGGAGAAACAAGAAUCCAAUUUGUCACUUUGAAUUUCUCCUAUUACUCUAUAAAAAUCGCUUUGAAUAAAAAGCUUUACCAGCCGCGAUCCUCCUUGCCUCCCGAGCAUCAUUUGCGGCUUGGAGAGCUUGGGCGAGUUCGGAUUCUUUCCCUGCUAGACUCUGCUCCAAGGUCUCGCUUUUCUUCACGGCCUCCUGGAGCUCUCGUUUAGCUUCAAUGACCCUGGCCUCGUGCUUCUCGCGAAGAGCCUGCUCCACGGCGGCCCUCUUGUCGGCUUCGGCCACAGCCUUCUUUAGCGCCUCAAUUUUGGCAUUUGCUCCUAGAGCAUACAAUACAAAUAAUUUCAUCAGGCACAACUACUCAUUUGUGCUUAACUUAUCAAAGGUUUCGACAUACCUUGCUUGUCCUCCAAUUGCUUCUUCACUUGGCCAAGCUCUUCUUCGGCCCACUCCAGACUCUGCUUUAGUCCAGACACUCCCGCAGUAUGAGAGGCGGUCGUCGCUACAUACGCAUGUUUUCAAACAAAGAGAUAUACGUAAUUAACCGAGUCUCCUCGAAGGGGAAAUUUGAUUCCCUGUCUGGUUCUCUCUUUCAUCGGACAGUGCAUCAGGGGCUACUGUUCAUACUAUGACAAUCUUCAAAAGUUCCUGAAACAUACCUCAAAGCCUUUUAUAAGGCUAAUGCAGGAUUCAUUCAGUUCGCUCUUAGCAGACUGAAUCUUUUUAAUUAUCGCACCCAUAAGGGUGCCAUGUUCAUCGACGAUGGACGCUCUCUUCAACGCUGUCGAUAGGCCGCCCUGCAGCUCUGCUUGGACAGAGGUUGCUGGCGGAGCGGGCUCGCCUCCCUCCGUCAAGGGGGGCUGCCUGCUUGAUCCUGGAGCUUUAAAGGUCUGCAGGACCGUGUUCGGCUGUGGGCCGAAUCUAGGAUCGUCCCCGCUGUCGAUGUUCAUGGGAACCGUUGCUCCCGUGUAUCCGGCCUCAGAGGUGUGCCCUCCCUGGUCUAGGUCCUGCUGAGACUACACCUCGGUGUCACGCUUAGGCUUCGGGGAAGGGGCCUCCAGAGGCGUCUCGCUCUCCAGGGCAUCUGAGCUCAGCGAAUCCUCCGAUGAGGACUGUUCGACGCGAGACCUCGCCGGGCUGCACAAAGUAUGGCGCCAGUUAAACUAUUGCACCCUAGUAAUCCUGGGCGCGUGGGUGUGUUCGGAUUUCGUGUACUCAUGAUUUUACCAGGGGCUGGGCCCUGGGAUCCCACUCCGGGCUGCUAUUGGUAGCCGUGGUGGACGCCUCUGGGAGGGAACUUUUUCCCUGCUUCGAUGAUUCGGCCUCCAAGGAUGAGGAUGUCGUCCUCUUCUUUCCUCCCCGCAUGGAGGACUCGUCUUCUUCCUCCUCCUCUUCAUCUUCGGAGGAAGGAUGGGCGUUGGAGUCUUCGGAUUUCGUGUCCGAAGCACCGCGGCCACGGAGGCCGCUCCGGGCCUCCUUGGCCUCCUUGAGGGCCUCUUUCUUCGGUGCCUUGUAAGGCGCUGGGACCAGCAUCUUCGUCAGAAGUGGUCCUACCAGUUCCUCCGGCAGCGGGGCCGAACAAUGUAUCCGCCCCGGCUUCUUCGUCCAUUCCUGGGUAAUUGCGUAAGGCAUGAUAAAGCAUCUCCCUCGGGAUAUGCCAGCUAAACAUGGAUAGACAGAACAUAUCGAUAACUUACCGGACUUGCGGAGCAGGACAGUUGAUACCCGCGGUCCUCGGUGGAGUCCGGCCACGGUUUGCCAGACUUGAAGAGCACCCUCCAGAUAUCCUUGUGUGAGGAGCCGUAGAGUUCCCGCAGUGUCUGGUGCUCGGCCGGGUCGUAUUCCCACAUAUUAUAGGCCCGGUGUUGGCAAGGAAGAACUAGGCGAACUAACAUCACCUGGACUACAUUAACGAGUUUGAUGCCCUUGUCCACCACGCCCUUGACGCGCGUUUGUAUCACCGAUAGCUCAUAGGAUGACGACCGGUUCAGGCCCUUCUUGGGCCAAGACAUGAGCCGCAGGGGGGCUCCUGAUCUGAAUUCGGGAGCAGCGGCCCACUUUUUGCCGCGCGGCUCAGUGAUGUAGAACCACUGUUGCUGCCACUCCUUGACGGAAUCAUUGAAGGUGCCUGACGGCCAUGUGACCUUGGGUGUCUUGCUCACCAUGGCGCCUCCGCACUCGGCGUGCUUGCCGUUCACCACCUUGGGCUUCACAUUGAAGAUCUUCAGCCACAAGCCGAAGUGUGGCGAAAUACGGAGAAAGGCCUCACACACGAUGAUAAACGUCAAGAUGUUAAGGAAAGAAUUAGGGGACAGAUCAUGAAAAUCAAUCCCGUAAUAUUACAUGAUGCCGUGAACAAACGGGUGAAGUGGAAACCCGAGCCCACGGACGAAAUGAGGAAGAAACACGACCCUCUCAUGAGGCUCCAAAUUAGGGACAAUCUGUCCCACCGUCGGAAGACGGUGGCUGAUUUUCUUGGCCAGGUAUCCGGCCUCUCAAAGCUUUUUGAUAUCCUUCUCCUGGACGGUAGAGGCCAUCCAUUUGCCUCCUUCUCCAGAUCCGGACAUCUUCGGAGAACCUCUUUUUGGUGGAGAAGACGAGCGCUUGGGCACUAGGGCUCGAGCGAUGGGGAAUGGACGAGCAGAAGGAAAAGGCAUGGGUAAAGAAGAAGAGACCUUAUCUCUUUAUAGAGGCCAUAAAAACUUUUGCGCCUCCCUACUUGCCUGAUGGAACCUGCUCGUUCCCCACUCACCGUGAUUGGCGGUACGCUUGGGCUACCCACGCCCGUAUUGAUGAAAGCCCCGUGAUAAGGGGACACGAUCUCUGCUUCAACGAGACGUGCCUGGGAAACCGCCUCGCAAUAUGUGCGGUGGUUGGCUGUGGGAAAACGGUUCGAAUAAUGACUCGACCAUGGUGUGUUGUCAUGUUAUCUAAAGAUGUCGGCAGAUUAUAUUUGUGGAAUAUCAUUCUCUCUAUGAUGGUAUCUGAAAAUCGUCUUGCAGAGCCGGACACGGUUUAAGUGUUCGAGACUUACUUUGGAGUAUUGGGAGAUGGAACCCGCCUUGCAAUGCCAAAGACAAACUGCGUGUCUGACUCAUCGUCAUUGAAGCCUGGUUCAGGGGCUACUGAGGGAGUCCUGGAUUAGGGGGUAUCCGGACAACCGGACUAUAUACUUUGGCCGGACUGUUGGACCGUGAAGAUACAAGACUCAAGACUUCGUCCCGUGUCCGGAUGGGACUCUCCUUUGCAUGGAAGACAAGCUUGGCGAUCCAGAUGUUAGAUCCCCUUCUUUGUAACUGACUCUGUGUAACUCUAGCCCCCUCCGAUGUCUAUAUAAACCGGAGGGUUUAGUCCGUAGGACAACAACAAUCAUAAUCAUCAUACGCUAGCUUCUAGGGAUUAGCCUCUAUGAUCUCGUGGUAGAUCUACUCUUGUAAUACUCAUAUCAUCAAGAUCAAUCAAGCAGGAAGUAGGGUAUUACCUCCAUCGAGAGGGCCCAAACCUGGGUAAAACAUCGUGUCCCCUGCCUCCUGUUACCAUUAGCCUUAGACGCACAGUUCGGGACCCCCUACCCGAGAUCCACCGGUUUUGACACAGACAGGCCCCGCCCUAAAGGGCGUCCUUACUGCACAGCGCCCGCUAGGGGGCCAGCCCUCAACCAAGCUGUAAGUGAACAAAAGUACUUUGGUAAAUAUAUCCCGCUUUAUCUCUGAGAACAAUAACCGAGACACAUAUCUUGCAGUCUGGCUCGUAGCCCUUCUCAACAAAGUUCGUCUUCGAGGGAUCUUCUUCCGAAGAUGAUGGAGAGCGAAACGCCUCCUCCUGCCUCCCCGCCUAAUAGGGCGGACGACCCCGAGGUGUCGUCACGGAGGAUUUAUCCUGAUCCGAAAAGGCCAGAAGGUAACUCUUCGGCCGCCCGAAGUCUGGAGUUUUCGGCUCCCAAGGAGAGCAACAGAAAGGGUCCGGGAUUGUCCGGUGCACAAUCAGACACACUAAUGGGUCUUCUGGAGCAAGCGGCUAUCUCAGAGGCGCAUCAUACCUUAAUGGGUACGGUGAUUGAGAGGAUUUCAUCCACCAAAAGCGGGUUGAAUGAGGCUUCUACGAGCCUGCUAAGAGGCUUUGAGGUACGCAAAGUAAUAUAUAUGUAUUUUUGACGGUACCGCACACGCUAGGUGUGCUCUGUAUAGAUAGUAGCCCCUUAGACUUUGGUUGCCGUCCAGAGGUGGCAAACAGAGGAUCAUAGUCCCAGGUAAUGAUCGCACUGCUUUCAUGUGCAGGAGGCUGAGGGUCCGACGGCUAGCCGGACUGCUGAUUUUGCCGAAUUGAAGCGGCAACUUGACGUGGCGGAUGCCGACAUCGCGCUUGUGAACAAGCGGCUUGACGAGGCGCGGGGUAUGUAUUUUCAGGUGGUCACCAAGUAUUAAGAGGAGCAUGAUGCUAGUAUCUAUAAUAUGUUGUGACUGCAGAUGGAGCUGCCGCCGUGGAGACCCUUCGGGCGGAACUUGCCCGAGCCAAGGAUUAAGCCAGGAGAAGUGAUGCCUCCGCCCGAAGAGUUAAAAGCCGAACAGGCUGCUCAUCCCUAGAGCGAAGAUAAGAUAGCCAAGAUGGCUGUUGAGCUGAAAGAUGCCGCCGGUCGCUAUAAGCUCCUUGAAAAGGAAAACCAAGCAAAAGCGGCUGACCUACAGAAUGCCUUGGAAGCAGCCAAGGAAACUCGCUCUGAGAUUAGAGCGGCAAGGGAGGACUUCGUCAAGCCGGAGAUAUCAUGGCUGGAAAGCCCUUUUUGUUGCCGACGAAGUUCGGAGAUCCGAAGUAUGCCCCUCUGGAUCAAUUGUGGAGUGUUGAGGACGCGUACUUGGACUUGGCAAAGAGUGUUGCUGAUGCGACUGAAUAUUUCAAAGAUCAAAAAGGUCGUGAUGUCGAAAGGUUGUUCUGGUCGCAGUUUAGUGCUCCAAAGCAUCCACUACUGUUAAAUGAAUAGAUGGACGAGUGGGCCGAGGUCCAUAGGUUAUCCGGGCUUGCCAUGAGGUCUGUCCUGGAUCAUCUUUGGCCGAAGGGACCAAAGUCGGAUAGUUAUUUUGGCUUAGUGCAACGAUUCCUUCGUGCUGUGCAGCAUAUCGACGCUGUAAAGAGGUCAGCGUGUAUAGAGGGUGCGCGGAUGGCUCUUGCCCGAGUUAAGACAUAUUGGGCAGGGAUGGAGGCCACUGCUAUUGCAUCCCGGGGUCUGGCCAGACGCCAGGGCUUGCCCGAGCACUAUUUUGAAGAAGUCUUAGAAGGCGCCCGUUUAAUAGAGGCUCAGUGCUCGAAGAGUACCAUGUUCGAGUGACAUGUAUCUCGAUUGUAAAAACAAUGCUAUUUUCAUUAUAAGGGUUGUGUUUACACUUUUGCCCGAAAGUAUUAUAGUGCCUCCUGUGCGGCCGUUUAUGUAUGUAUGUAUAUAACCUGAAAGUUUGUAGUCGUCGGCUUCAGCCCCCACGCAUGUAAUGCGGGGGUGUUCGGUAAAGCGCGUAAGCACACUUGAUCCAACGUCUUGGUCCAUUAAGGAGGUGAUAGCGCGGCGAACAAGGCAAUCAGACUAUAUAGCUUUAACACUUUCACUUAGCCAUAGGAGUUUGAUGGUGGGGCUACUAUAUAGCUCCUGGUACUUCCGCGUUCAUCCAAAUUCGGUGCGUGUAUGUACAUGACCGAGAAACCGGCCCUUCGUUAAUGCGGAGGAAUCGUGGAGAUUCUGCUGAGUCAUCGAGUGGGUGACUAGUCUCUUGCUGUAUCAUGACAACCAGUUUUCAGCUUUCUCUACUGAGGUGCUCAUCCAGAUGAACCGGGGCACAAUCGCAGUAGUUCUCCCGGUGCCGCCUUAGCCGAUAGAGCUGAAUGUAAGGUAGCAAAACAUGGGAGCCGGGCAAACCCAAUUAUGGACCAAAGACAUGAUUCGGAGCUGAUGCAUAUAAGGCCAAACUCGCGACGCCGAACACUCCCUAAGGUAUUCGGACUUUUACAACAUAUACUGGGCUGAGUAACGCCCUUGAUAAUGAGCCCUAAAUUUCCAGAUACAUGCAUUAGUCUGGCGUGGCAAAAUGCCAAUAACGCCAGCAUCCCUCUCAGUUGCGUUGAGUGUCUGGAGGGUGUGAAGCAACAAGAGACAUUAAAAAGGGUUUACACAGGGUCUUAAUCUAAAAAGAAACCUUUGAGCGGGGCCCUGCUGCACGUCUGCGCCUUUGUCUCCGUUGUGCCAUAUCCUGGAAGGGUGUAGCACGAUGAUCAUCUGUAAAAGAAAAACCCAGGUGAAAGACUUCGUGCAAAAAGUUGGUUAUUCUUAAUGAACCAUGAAAAUGCAAUCUAUUAUUGUAUUAAUAGGGUCAAGCCGAACUAUGGGCCUAUUUAUAUGCGGGCAGCCCCUAGCACCAUCUAUGGGGGUGUAUCCAUUGACCCAAGCUCAGGUUUAUCUGGGCUGCUACAACUAGUGGUGCGCCAGACUCAUCUAACCGUGUCCGCGGUCUUGAUGACCGAUCAUUUAUUCAGGUUGGGGGGGCGUUCAGUGUUUGGCUGCUAGAGCCGCCACAUAUUCUUCCGCACGUAAGGAACGCUCUGUAUUUCCGCUAACUGUAAUGACGCCACGUGGAUCGGAUAUCUUAAGUUUAAGAUAAGCGUAGUGUGGUACUGCAUUGAAACGAAAGAAGGCCGUUCUUCUGAGUAGUGCAUGAUAGCCGCUUCGGAAUGGAGCGAUGUCGAAGAUUAGUUCUUCGCUUCGGAAAUUGUCGGGAUAAUCGAAUACAACUUCUAGUACUAGAGAGCCCGUGCAGCGGGCCUCUACACCUGGUAUUACUCCUUUAAAGGUAGUAUUGCUUUGGCUGAUUCUCGACGGGUCUAUCCCCAUCUUGCGGAUAGUGUCCUGAUAUAUCAGGUUAAGACUACUGCCGCUGUCCAUGAGGACUCGGGUGAGAUGGUAUCCAUCAAUUAUUGGGUCAAGCACCAAGGCAGCUGAUCCUCCAUGUCGGAUACUAGUCAGAUGAUCCCUGCGGUCGAAAGUGAUCGGGCAGGCCGACCAAGGGUUGAACUUGGGGGCGACGGGCUCCACAGCGUAUACGUCUUGGAGUGCGUGUUUGCGCCUCCUCUUUGGUAUGAGUUGCAUAAAUCAUGUUCACUGUCUUGACCUCUGGUGGAAAUUUUUUCUGUCCCCUAGUGUUCGGCUGGCGAGGCUCAUCCUCGUCUUCACUUGGCGUCUCCCUCCCCUUGUGUUCCGCAUUUAGUUUGCCGGCCUGCUUGAAGACCCAGCAUUCUCUGUUGGUGUGAUUUGCAGGUUUUCCGGGGGUGCCAUGAAUCUGACAUAAUCUGUCUAGAAUCUUGUUUAGGCUGGAUGGUCCAUCUCUGCUGCCUUUAAAUGGCUUUUUUUGUUGAUCGGGUCGAGAGCCCUUGAAUCCGGUGUUGACCGUCGUGUUGUCUGGGCUGUCUUCAUUAUUUCGACGCUUGUUUUUAUUGCGUCGCGGCUUCCCGUUGCCAUCCCUGACUUCGGAUGUGCCUGGGUCGCUGGUGCUGCUGCAGGCCAACCAGCUGUCCUUGCCCGCGCAAAAUCAGGUCAUAAGGCUUGUUAGGGCUGCCAUUGUCCUCAGCUUUUCUUGGCCGAGGUGUCUAGCGAGCCAUUCAUCUCGGAUACUGUGCUUGAAAGCCGCUAAGGCUUCGGCAUCCGGGCAGUCGACAAUUUGAUUCUUCUUAGUGAGAAAUCUGUUCCACAGCUUACGGCCUGACUCUCCAAGUUGUUGGAUUAUGUGACUUAAAUCUUCUGCAUCCGGAGGUCGAACAUAGGUCCCUUGAAAAUUGGCCCUGAAAGCAUCCUCAAGUUCCUCCCAACUUCCAAUUGAGUUUUUGGGGAGGCUCUUCAACCAAUGUUGACCUGGUCCUUUCAACUUGAGGGGCAGGUAUUUAAUGGCAUGGAGAUCAUCUCAGCGAGCCAUGUGGAUGUGAAGGAUAAAGUCCUCAAUCCAGAUCCUAGGGUCUGUCGUUCCGUCGUAUGCCUCUAUAUUCGCGGGUUUAAAUUCCUCUAGAAAUUCAUGAUCCAGCACCUCAUCGGUGAAGCACAGGGGGUGCGCGACACCCCUGUAUUUGGAUGUGUCGUGGCAUGUUGUCGACGGUUGUUGUGUUCGGUGUUGAUUCCAUGCUGGUAUUCAAUCAAUAUGAUCGUUUUGGUGGCUGUGAUCCUGCGCCGGAGCACGCUUCCUAGAUCCAUAGAUGGACCUAGCCAUACCGGCUUUUUUGUCCAAGAGCUCACGUAAAUCGUGUGCUGACUUGUGUGCGGCAUCAUUAGCCACCCUAUCGCGGCCACGGGGUGGUCGGUCUAGCUGAUCGGCCGUUUUUAUUUUUCGGCUGAAUGGGCUCUAUAGCCUCAUCGUCGAAUUCGGGCAGCAGCUUGAGCUUUGGGUAGCUCUUUGUGUGGCGAUCACCGCCGUAUUUUUCUUAGGUGUCGAGCACUUUGUUCCACCUUCGAUUGAGCGUAUCCUACGCGGCCUUAAGCCUUUGCUUCUGCUUCUUCAAGCUCCUCGUGGUGGCAAUAAGCCUUCUAUGGAGGUUCUCUUGCUCCAAGUGUUUUUCCGGGAUGAUGAGUGCAUCGUCGUCCGGACUGUUCUCCUCUCCGGAGACAGGUUGAUGGAUUUUACCCUCGGCAUCGCCGUGAUCGGACAUCGGCUCCGGACUAUGUUCACCGUCCCCUGGCUCAUCCUGCUCCAUUGCUGGGUCCAUGGGGUCAUCAUUUCCUUUGGAGUCGACCGGGGUAUUAUUCUUUCUUAGGCAGUUAUCGCUGUUUUUACUGUGGCGGGAUUUAGAGUGGCGCCUACGUCGUCGCUUUGGUUGCUGCACGAGGGGAUUAUCCUCUGUUACCUCAUCACCAUCGCCUUCUUUUGGCGUGUCUGCCAUAUAUAUAUAAUAUGAUGAGGUGGUAGUCCAGCGCCCUGUGGGCGGUGGCUCCUGUUCUUCUCCUGCAUCAUCAUCCAUACCGUCGAUGUCUUCGGAGUUGAAGUCAAGCGUGUCGGUUAAGUCAUCGACAAUGGCUAUUAAGUGGAUGGUGGGUGGGGAAUGAAUUUCUGUGUUGUCCGCUUCCCACUCAAGCUGGACAUAGUUCGGCCAAGAGUCUCCUACCAGAGAGAGAGACCUUAAUGAAUUUAGCACGUCGCCCAAGGGCGAGUGCUGAAAGGUAUCCAUGGAGGUAAACUCCAUGAUCGGUGCCAAAUCAGAUUCGAUAGGCACGGACGCACGCAGUUCGGAACCUAUGGCCGGAGACGAGUCCGAGGGUCCGAUGACACAGAUCUCUUUGGAGGCGAAGUCUGUGUUCGGCUCUAUCUCUGAUGAGUGUGCGGUCUCCAAGGUGGGUUCUAUCCACCCAUCCUCGGAUGGCAUGAUCUGCUCCAGAUUGAGGGUCAGGGCAGCCGCAGGUGUGAUCUCCCGAACACCAUCCGAUGGCAGAUCUAAGUCAUGCUUGACAUGGCUGUUCGGCACACCUGACAUGGGCUCGAAUCCGUCGAAGAUCAAGUCUCCGCGGAUGUCGGUAGUGUAGUUCAAGUUUCCAAACCUGACCUGAUGGCCAGGGGCAUAGCUAUCGAUCUGCUCCAGAUGGUCAAGCAAGUUGGCCCCUAGUACGAAGCCACCGAAUACGAAGAUCCAUCUGGGGAGGAAAACCUCACCCUGGAUCGCAUCGUUGCAGAUGAUUGAAGGAGCCAUGAAGCCUUAUUGUGACGGCACAGUGGAACUCUCAAUGAAAGCACCAAUGUCGGUGUCAAAACCGGCGAUCUCGGGUAGGGGGUCCUGAACUGUGCGUCUAAGGAUAAUGGUAACAGGAGGCGGGGGACACAAUGUUUACCUAGGUUCGGGCCCUCUCGACGGAGGUAAUACCCUACUUCCUGCUUGAUUGAUCUUGAUGAUAUGAGUAUUACAAGAGUUGAUCUACCACGAGAUCAUAGAGGCUAAACCCUAGAAGCUAGCCUAUGAUUAUGAUUGUCGUUGUCCUACGGACUAAACCCUCCAGUUUAUAUAGACAUCGGAGGGGGCUAUGGUUACACAGAGUCGGUUAUAGAGAAGGAGAUCUACAUAUCCGAAUUGCCAAGCUUGCCUUCCACGCAAAGGAGAGUCCCACCCGGACAUGGGGCGAAAUCUUCAAUCUUGUAUCUUCAUAGUCCAACAGUCCGGCGAAAGUACAUAGUCCGGCUGUCCGAGGACCCCCUAAUCCAAGACUCCCUCAGCAAGCAACAACUAGCAUAUGCAAGGAAGCGGAAAGAACCAAUAGCAAUCUCAACAUAACGAGAGGUAAUUUAGUAACAUGAAAAUUUCUACAACCAUAUUUUCCUCUCUCAUAAUAAUUACAUGUGGGAUCAUAAGCAAAUUCAACAGAAUAGCUAUCACAUAAAAUAUUUUCAACACGAUCCACAUGCAUGCGAAGUUGACACUCUUCCAAAAUAGUGGGAUUAACAUUAACUAGAGUCAUGACCUCUCCAAACCCACUCUCAAUAAUAUUGCAAACACUAUUAACAAUCUCAUAUUCACCAUGGGGCUUAAAGAAAUUUUCAAGAUCAUAAAAAGAAUCACCCCAAUCAUGAUCAUUGCAACAAAUAGUAGUCAUAGCAAAACUAGCAUCCCCAAGCUUGAGGUUUUGCAUAUCAUUAACACAAUUGACAUUAAGAGAAUUUAUAAUAACAUCAUUUCAAUCAUGCUUUUCAUCGAAGGAACUAUCAAGUAUGGGUGCAAUAGCAACGAUCUCAUGUUUAACAUACGGAACUAUAGUAAAUUUGUCUUCAUAAAUAUUGGCAUCAUGGCCACAAGAAUAGAAAGCAUCAUGUUCAUCAAGGGAUAUUUCAAUCAAAUCAUCAUAAUCAUAAUCAUCUAUAGAUUCAUGCAUAUCGUUAUUUUCUUCCAAAGCAAUGGUCAUUCUUUCAAUAAAUUCGUUGACAUAGACAUUAUGAGCAUAGUUUUCAUAGCAAUAUUUAACUAUGUCAAAAUUUUCAGAUUUGUAGAGAGUAAUAUCAUACUUUUCAAUAAAAGAAGCAACUUCAUAAGCACUCUUAAAAGCAAUAAAUUCUUCAAUUUGUUCGAUAUCAUAGUAACUAUAAACACCUUUGGCAUACGUACAUAGGAUUUCAUUAUCAUUAAACUCACAUAGGUAGGAAAGGUGAUUUUUAGGGUUCUUAGAGCAACAAGUAAAAUCAGAAAUUUCACAAGGAUUCCAAGCAUAGCACAAGAACCUGUUUAUUUGAUCCCAUAAGAGUCUCCCUUUUUCAGACAAACGAUGACGCACAAAAUGAGCAUGAUCAUCUAAAGAUUUUCCCUCAACUACACUAGUUGGGGUUUCAGCACGAGCACAUAUAGAUCGAAGAUGAUCGAAGUAGAAAAUUUUAAGUGGAUCCAUAACAAUAGAUUUUUAGCAAGCAAAGAUGCAAGCACAUAGAAGGCACGAGACGCAAACAAACAUAAGAUCGAACGGAAGAAGGGCGAAGAAAAGGCAAAGGCUUUCGAAAAUCGUUUUAGAAGUGGGGGAGAGGAAAACGAGAGGCGAAUGGCGAAUAAUGUAAUGCAAGGGAGGAGAGUUUAUGAUGGGUACUUGGAAUGGCUUGACUUGACAUAGACCUCCCCGGCAAUGGCGCCAAAAAUUCUUCUUGCUACCUCUUGAGCUUGCGUUGGUUUUCCCUUGAAGAGGAAAGGGUGAUGCAGCAAAGUAGCAUAAGUAUUUCCGUCAGUUUUGAGAACUAAGGUAUCAAUCCAGUAGGAAACAACGCACAAGUUACCUGCACAUCCAAUCAAGAACUUGCAACCAACGCGAUAAAGGGGUUGUCAAUCCCUUCAUGGUCACUCACAAAAGUGAGAUCUGGUAGAGAUAGAUAAAUGGUAAAGUAAAUAUUUUUGGUAUUUUUGGGUGUAUUGAUUGGAAAGUAAAGAUUGCAAAAUAAUAGAUCGGAAACUAGCAAUAUGUAAACAAGAUUCAAUAUAAUGGAAAUAGACCCGGGGGCCAUAGGUUUUACUAGUGCCUUCUCUCGAGAUAGCAUAUAUUACGGUGGGUGAACAAAUUACUGCCGAGCAAUUGAUAGAAAAGCGUAUAAUUAUGAUGACAUCUAAGGCAAUGAUCAUGAACAUAGGCAUCACGUCCGUGUCAAGUAGACCGCUCCUACCUGCAUCUACUACUAUUACUCCACACAUCAACCGCUAUCCAGCAUGCACCUAGAGUAUUAAGUUCAUAAAGAACGGAGUAACGCAUUAAGCAAGAUGAUAUGAUGUAGAGGAAUUAACUCAAGCAAUAUGAUGAAAACACCAUCUUGUUAUCCUCAAUGGCAACAAUACAAUAUGUGCCUUGUUGCCUCUAUUGUCACUGGGAAAGGACACUACAAGAUUGAACCCAAAGCUAAGCACUUCUCCCAUUGCAAGAAAGAUCAAUCUAGUAGGCCAAACUAAACCGAUAAUUCGAAGAGACUUGCAAAGAUAUCAAAUCAUGCAUAUAAUAAUUCAGAGAAAAGAACCAAAUAAUAUUCAUAGAUAAUCUUGAUCAUAAAUCCACAAUUCAUCGCAUCUCGGCAAACACACGCAAAAGAGUAUCACAUCGAAUAGAUCUCCAAGAACAUCGAGGAGAACUUUGUAUUGAGAAUCAAAGAGAGAGAAGAAGCCAUCUGGCUAAUAACUAUGGACCCGAAGGUCUGUGGUAAACUACUCACGCUUCAUCAAAGAGGUAAUGGUGUUGAUGUAGAAUCCCUCCAUGAUAGAAUGCCCCUCCGGCAGAUCGCUGGAAAAGGCCCCAAGAUGGGAUCUCACGGGUACAGAAGGUUGCAGCGGUGGAAAAGUGGUUUCGUGGCUCCCCCUGAUGUUUUUAGGGUAUAAGAGUAUAUAUAGGCGAAGGAACUAGGUCAGGGGAGCUAUGAGGGGCCCACGAGGGUGGGGGUGCGCCCUCCUGCCUCGUGGCCGCCUCAUUGCCUCUCCGACUUCAUCUCCAAGUCUUCUGGUUUGCUUUCGGUCCAAGAAAGAUCAUUGCAAAGGUUUCAUUCCGUUUGGACUCCGUUUGGUAUUCAUUUUCUGCAAAACUCUAAAAUAGGCAAAAAAACAGAAAAUGGCAUUGGUCCCUCGGUUAAUAGGUUAGUCCCAAAAAUAAUAUAAAAGAGCAUAUUAAAGCCCAUUAAACAUCCAAAACACAUAAUAUAAUAGCAUGGAACAAUCAAAAAUUAUAGAUAUUCUGGAGAUGUAUCAAUCAUAUACCAAGUUCACGGUAAUCUCUUUUCUGUCCAGUCCCUGAAGUCCAACACGGGCCAUAUGAUUCGGAUCGAGUCCGGUGUAGCGCGUUUUCACCAUCGUCCAUGCCUCUCGUGCACCUUCCUGGCAUGCUGACUCCUUCCAUAGCUCGAAACUGCACCGGGCACCUUUGAACAGGUUGGCCAACCCCUCCAUACUUUCUGGAGGGGCAUUGGAUGGCCAUAAGGCUAUGAUCAUGCUCUUCAUGGCCUUCCGGGCCCACUCGUGCACUUUAGACAGUUCUUUUAGAACGUCGCCUUGGAAUCCGGACACUUCUUCUUCGGGACUUCCGGUUAAAAGAUCUGCAAGAAUAGCAUUAUAAGACUCUGUAUUAUAAGAUUAUAUGAGUCCCCUGGAUAGUUCAAAGGACAUACCGAAUGUGCCGCCUUUCAACUUUUUGUUCUCUUCUUGCUCGGCCGAUAAUUGAGCAUUUAAGCUCUUUAUUUCUUCAGCUUGAUUAUCCCUCUCCGCCUCGAGUUUGUUCUUCCAGUCACUAGUCACCAUGAUUUUCUUCAAUUCCUCUGACUCAAAGGUGGCGACAUGUAGCUUUGUCCGGCUUGCUUCAAGCUCCUGGGACAGUGCAUUAUUCUUCUCUUGGAGAACCCGCGGGGAUAACGAUCCUUAAAUCGGUUAGUCUAAAACCCGCUUCAAGUCCCGUGGGCUACUGGUAUAUAUCUAUUAAAUUCACACAAACUAUUACCUGCAUAUCUUUUGAAAACAGGUGAACAACUCCGGUAAGUCCAUCACGGGCGGCUCGGAUAUAUGCAUCCACGGUGCUAAGGGUGGUAAAUUCCUGCUCAGUGAAAGCUGGAGCGCAGGGGCUCUUUUAGUCGCCGAUGAUUCAUCGCACUCUCCACUUCGGAAUUUGUGACGGAUACGUCAUCUGAAUCCUCAUGAGGUGGAUGAGUCGGCACCGCAUCCGUAUUGGUUCUCUUCCUAGUCGAUGAGCCCGGCGCUAGAUUGGCUGAUGCUCGGCUAGCCGGGAUUUUGGACAUGGUUCGCCGUGUGCUCCUCCUGGAAUAAGAUGGGGGGAGAAAUAUGACAAUUCGAUCUUAUGCCUAGAUGCAUAUCAAAGGUUAUACCUCUUUGAUGAUGGAGGGGGUUCGACGGCACUCCCGGUUUCCUUUCGUUUUGAAGGCCCACCAUGCAAAGAUGUUGCCUUCCUUUGGGAUGCCCUCGAUUAGGUAUGGCUCGCUGAGCAUCGAUCCAAUAAAGCAUGGUUUAGUGUGAUGGGUGAGAUGCGAGCAGGGGCUCCUCUUUUUGAGGAUGAUUUCUAAGCACUUACCUUAACGAAAGGGAGAAGGUCGGGGUAGUCGGCCGUAAUAGCCACUUCCGAGCCAUCAAGGCUUGCUUGAUAAAAGACUCCAUCAUCAAACUCUAUAGAUAUAUCCGGAUCCUCGCGGAAGCCGGGGUCUUCAUUGCGAGAGUGAUCCUAUGGUUGAGGGGAGGGGAAGUGAACGUUUUUGACUACCUUCCUCCAUGUUUGCUUUAAAAGACAACCAGAAUAGUUAGCACCCGUACAUGGAAAAACCUUGCUGACAAUUUUAGCGGAGAAGUUCUUCUUCCUCCCCCUUAUAAAGAUCUGCCAGAAUGGCGGCUAGAGCGGAUGGGGUAUCCAAACCCUUGUUCUCAUAGCAAGAUGCAUUGUCGUCUCCAUUGUAACACCGUAAAGGGUCACUCUGUACUGAAGGGGCUGGAUGCAUCGCUUUAUCGCAAUAGCCAUGACUUCGAUUAUUGAGAGUCCGAAUUGGGCAAGUAAUCUGACCUUGCUAACUAACCUCAUUACUUCCGUGCUAUCUUCUUGCUUGGGGCUCCAGGGACACCAAUUAAGUAGCUUCUUUGGAGGAGCACUGGAGAAUUUAGGAAGCCCAUGCCAAACUGGGUCCGGAAGGGGAACAUCUUCAAUGUAGAACCAUUCCGAAGACCAUUCUUCGGACCCCUUCUUGGGAGUUCCGACGGGGUAGCCUGAUCCGUCUAUGCGCCAAACUUCGGCGCCGCCCACUUCAAAUAUAGAACCACCUUGGUGGUGGGGGACGAGGCAAAAGAACUUUCUCCACAGUUCAAAAUGAGCCUCGCAGCCUAAGAAAAGCUCGCAAAGAGUGACAAAACCUGAAAUAUGCAGGAUUGAACCUGGCAUGAGGUUGUGUAGCUGGAUCCCGUAGAAUUCUAAUAGACCCCUGAGAAAGGGAUGGAUCGGGAAUCCUAAGCCCCUCAGAAAAAACGAGACGAAGCACACCUUCUCCUCCCCGCUGGGGUUGGGGAAAUUCUCUGCUAGCGCGUCGUUGCCCAUCGAGGCCAAACCCACCCGCACGGAGACUAGAUCUGCGGGAGGGAGAUCCUUGCGUAUGAAGUCGACUCAACUGGAGGUGAGACACUGUACAUCUCUGCCAAUCACCCUCUUGAGGGCCGUGAGGGCGCGAAGAGGAACUAGGGGCGCUCUCCAUGAUUUGAAGUUUUUCGUGGUUUGCUCCGAUGCUCUUUGCGCGAUGUGAGGUAGUGUUUGGGGAUCUAACCUCGUUAUAUAGAUGCCGUCCGCACCUGGUAAGGGGCUUAUUUGUCAAAAAGUUAUGGACCGUUCACAUUCGCCCAGCGCAUGGAAUCGAGGCAACAACAAGAAGGAAUCAUAAAGAUAGGACGCAGAGGUCGAUGCCAGACUAUCGUGAAUCUGAAGGGUGAUGGAGAACCCGCCUUGCAAAGCUGGACACUAUAUCGUCAUUGAAGGCAGGUUUGGGGGCUACUAAGGGAGUCCUGGAUUCGGGGGUCCUCAGGUGUUCGGCCUAUUCGAUAUGGGCCGGACUGAUGGGCCGUGAAGAUAAAACAGAAGACCAUAUCCCGUGUCUGGGUGGGACUCCUAUAUACGUGGACGGCAAGAUUGGUGUCCGGAUGUACUAUUUCCUUCUCUUGUAAACCGACUCUAUACAACCGUAGGUCCCUCCGGUGUCUAUAUAAACCAGAGGGUUUAGUCCGUAGAGGCCAUCAGAAUAAUCAUAGGCUAGACGGCUAGGAUUUAGCCAUUACGAUCUCGAGGUAGAUCAACUCUUGUAACCCCUAUACUCAUCCAAUACAAUCAAGCAUGGCGUAGAGUUUUACCUCCUUUAAGAGGGCCCGAACCUGGGUAAACAUCAUGUCCCAUUGUCCCUUGUUACCAUUGAUCAUUAGACGCACAGCUUGGGGCCCCCUACCCAAGAUCUGCCAGUUUUGACACCGACAGCUGCUACUAGGCAAAGAAAGAAGAGAACCUCAGAUUCAGAGGAUGGGAAUUGAUACGUCUCCAACGUAUCUAUAAUUUAUGAAGUAUUCAUGUUGUUACAUUAUCAUUCUUGGAUGUUUUACAAUCAUUUUAUAGCAACUUUAUAUCAUUUUUUUGGGACUAGCCUAUUGACGCAGUGCCUAGUGCCAGUUCUGUUUUUACUUGUUUUUUACAUCGCAGGAAAUCAAUAUCAAAUGGAGUACAAACACCGCAAAACUUUUAGUGGAUUUUUUAUGGACCAUAAGACAUCCAAUCAGCCAUAGCAGCACCUGGGGGUGCCCCGAGGGGGCACAACCCUCCAGGGCGCGCAUGUGCCUGAUACGUCCAUUUUGCAUCAUGUUUUCCUACUGUUAUUUAUGUUGUUUUAUUGUAUAAUAAUGCUUUUUGGAGUAAUUCUAAUGCCUUUUCUCUCAUAAUAUGCAAGGUAUAUACAAAGGGGGAGGAUUCUGGCAGCUGGAAAUCUGGACCUGAAAAAGCUACGUCAAGCUACCUAUUCUACACAACUCCAAAUGAGCUGAAACUUCAUGAGGAUUUUUUAUGGAAUAUUUAAUAAAUAUUGGAGCAAAUAAGUACCAAAGGGGGGCCAUCAGGUGGGCACAACCGACCUGGGUGUGCCAGGAGGCCCAAGCGCGCCCUGGUGGGUGCUUCCCGCCUCGGCCCACCUCCGGUGCCUGUCUUCUGGUAUAUAAGUCAUUUUGACCUAAAAUAAUUGAGGAGAGAACUUUCGAGAUGAAGCACCGCUGUCUCGAGGCGGAACUUGGGCAGGAGCACUUUUGCCCUCCGGCGGAGCGAUUCCGCCGGGGGAACUUCUCUCCUAGAGGGGGAAACCAUCAUCAUCAUCAUCACCAACAACUCUCCCAUCUUGGGGAGGCCUAUCUUCAUCAACAUCUUCAACAACACCAACUCCUCUCAAACCCUAGUUCAUCUCUUGUGUUCAAUCUUUGCAUCGAAACUAUAGAUUGGUGCUUGUGGGUGACUAGUAUUGUUGAUUACAUCUUGUAGUCGAUUACUAUAUGGUUUAUUUGGUGGAAUAUUAUAUGUUCAGAUCCAUUAUGCUAUUUAAUACCCCUCUGAUCUUGAGCAUGAUUAUCAUUUGUGAGUAGUUACUUUCAUUCUUGAGGUCACGGGAGAAAUCAUGUUGCAAGUAAUCAUGUGAACUUGGUAUGUGUUCGAUAUUUUGAUGAUAUGUAUGUUGUGAUUCCCUUAGUGGUGUCAUGUGAACAUCGACUACAUGACACUUCACCAUAUUUGGGCCUAAGGGAAUGCAUUUUGGAGUAGUUAUUAGAUGAUGGGUUGCGAGAGUGACAGAAGCUUAAACCCCAGUUUAUGCGCUAUUCCGUAAGGGACCGAUUGGAUCUAAAAGUUUAAUGCUAUGGUUAGAAUUUAUUCUUAAUACUUUUCUCGUAGUUGCGGAUGCUUGCAAGAGGGUUAAUAAUAAGUAGUAGGUUUUUUUAAGUAGGAACAACACCUAAACACCGGUCCACCCACAUAUCAAAUUAUCAAAGUAGCGAACACGAAUUUUUGACAAAAAGACUGUAAGGGAACCCCCUACAUUAUAAUUGGUGCAACAAACCCAAAUUGCAAGUACCAUGCCUUGAACCUGGGUGGGUGGGAAGGCAUCAGCCCCUUCCCACCACUAGGCUAUGCCUUAGUCUGCAAGUGACUAGAUGAAAAUCCCGUGUACCCUCAAGAACACUUUGCUUAUCAUAAGAGAUCGUUUUGGCCUGUCCUUUGCCUCAAAAGGAUUGGGCUAUCUUGCUGCACUUUUGUUACUACUAUCGUUACUUGCUUGCUACAAAUAAUCUUGCUAUUAAACUACUCUGCUACUUCUAAUUCUAGCACUUGCAGACAUUACCUUGCUGAAAACCACUUGUCAUUUCCUUCUGCUCCUUGUUGAGUUCGACACUUGAGGGAGUCCUGGACUAGGGGGUGUCCGGAUAGCCGAACUAUCAUCAUCGGCCGGACUCCAAGACUAUGAAGAUACAAGAUUGAAGACUUCGUCCCGUGUCCGGAUGGGACUUUCCUUGGCGUGGAAGGCAAGCUUGGCGAUACAGAUAUGUAGAUCUCCUACCAUUGUAACCGACUCUGUGUAACCCUAGCCCUCUCCGGUGUCUAUAUAAACCGUAUGGUUUUAGUCCGUAGGACGACAACAAUAACAGCAAUCAUACCAUAGGCUAGCUUCUAGGGUUUAGCCUCCUUGAUCUCGUGGUAGAUCUACUCUUGUAAUACCCACAUCAUCAAUAUCAAUCAAGCAGGACGUAGGGUUUUACCUCCAUCAAGAGGGCCCGAACCUGGGUAAAACAUCGUGUCCCUUGUCUCCUGUUACCAUCCGCCUAGACGCAUAGUUUGGGACCCCCUACCCGAGAUCCGCCGGUUUUGACACAGACAUUGGUGCUUUCAUUGAGAGUUCCUCUGUGCCGUCGCAAUUAGGAAGGAUGCCUCCUCCCGUCUUUAAAGACGGUACCAUUGCCAAAGGAGCUUUGGCCGCUGGUCAAGCUAUCCGGCUAGGUGGUUUUCUUAUGACCGCCUGUUCGGCCACCGCUUCGACGAUGACCUCUCGGGUCAUCAAAAGCGAUCUUCGCAUCAACUCGGAAUUUGCCGAGCAGCUGGAUCUGAUGGAGCUCUCUUCCGUAAACGAGCUCUUGGAUCGCAUCGCCGCCCUGGGAGUCGCUACAGACUACGAUCAGAUUGGGCUUAAAAUUGAUCUGAGAGAAAUUAACUCUCCCUAGGCUACCCACCAUGUUGCUGUGGUAGAAGAACAACGCGGUGACUCUUCCUCUAUGUUAAAAACCAGUUAUGUCCGGAUUCCCGAUCCCUCCAUGCCGGAUUCCCGCGGAGGGACGGACGUCAGUCGAGUACUGAACCUAAAGUCAGGCAGCGGACUAGAUUCGUUGGACGACCUCCAGCAAUCCAAGCUUCCAAAUCCGAAAAUUCCUCGGCCUUUGAGCCUCAGAUUGGGUGGGGUUCCGAACUUAGUUCCACCCGCCCACCCAAACACAAGCGAUCUAUCCCAAAUACGGCGAGAGCCCAAUGAAACAGUACAUCAUUAGUGGGCCAGAUUCCUCCUGGUUAUGGACAGGAUAAAGGACUGUCAUGAGGAAAGCGCAAUCUCUAUUUUCUGCAAUAAUUGCACAGACAAGGGAAUUAUGAACGCCAUAAGUCAUCGCAAGGUCACGCGCUUCGCCGACCUGUCGACCAUAGUACGAAAAUACUGUGCGAUGGAGAGUGCCUGGAAAACCGAAACUAGAUUUUGGGACAAUCCGGCCCUAAACACAACCUUAGUCCGGAAUAAAAGGGUGCACCAUGCUCAAGCACCUGGGUCAAAAAUCAAAAAGCAAAACCCCCCAAAGGGCACGGAACCGUACUGGAGGGAUGGCUCAGCGGACCCUGCAAAAUCCAUAAUGCAGAAGGCGCCACUCCAACACAUAGCCUCCGGGCAUGUUGGAUACUACGGCAGGUGGCCAAAAGUGGCGAAGGGCUUCUAGCCCCGGAAAACUAGCCCAACAGUACCAGUACGGUAUCAACAGUCUUCGAGACUUUCGCAUCAAAUAAUAUGCGGAAACAAACAAUCCACAGCCUCGCCGAAGUCUACCAAGUAGCAACAACAAAUCCAUGGAGCGACAAGGCUAUCACCUUCAAUGCCAGUGACGAACCUAAAUUCCGAACAGCCCGAGCACCAGCCGCAUUGGUCCUCAAUCCCAUAGUGGACGGCUUUCGUCUUACCAGCGUACUCAUGGAUGGCGUCAGCGGAUUAAACCUCAUUUACGAGGAAACUCUCCAAAAAAUGGAAAUAGACUGGAGCCACAUUGAGCGAAGCAGCACAACCUUUAGAGGAAUAAUCCCUAGUCGGGAAGUACGCUGCACAGGAAAAAUCACACUAUAUGUGGUGUUCCGCUCGCCGGACAACUACAGGUCCGAGGAAGUCACGUUCCAAGUGGCCCCGUUCAGCAGCGGAUAUCACGCUCUAUUAGGGCGAGAGGCAUUCACAAUUUUCCAAGCCAUACCCCAUUACGGGUACAAGAAGCUCAAAAUGCCCGGGCCCAAUAUAAUCAUCACUCUGGUCAGUGAUCCGGACAUAGCACUCCGCGCCGAAAACAAGACAGCCGCACUAGCCCUAGAUGCACUAUCCGAAGCACUAGCGGCAGAAGAACUCACGGCACUAUGCUCCACGGCGAAUAUGGAUGAUGUGAUACUCAACAAGAGAUCUAAGUCCACAUCUUUCAAACCAGCAGACGAAAUAGUCAAAUUCCAGGUCCAUCCUACGGACCCCACAAAGACGGCCUCCAUUGGGGCACAAUUAAACCCUGAUGUAGAAGUCGCGCUACGAGAAUUCCUUCGGGAAAAUUGGGACAUUUUUGCCUGGCACCCUUCAGAUAUGCCAGGAAUCCCACACAGGCUGGCAGAGCACAGCCUAAAUAUCCUAAAAGGAUUCAAGCCAGUCAAACAGGCUCUUCGACGAUUUUCCGAACCCAAAAUACAGGCGAUGGGAGAGGAGCUAGCCAAACUAUUGGAAGCCAGAUUCAUUAGAGAUAUAAAACAUCCGGACUGGCUAGCAAACCUGGUAAUGGUACCAAAAAAGGACAAAUCCUGGCGCCUUUGUGUGGAUUUUAAAGACCUUAAUAAGGCCUGUCCAAAGGAUCCUUUCCCCCUCCCCGCAUCGACCAAAUCAUCGAUGCUACCGCGGGGCACAAUUCAUUGUGUUUCCUCGACGCAUACUCCGGAUACCAUCAAAUCAAGAUGGCGGAAACAGACCAGGCCGCAACGGCACUCAUUACUCCAUACGGACCAUUCUACUUCAAGACAAUGCCCUUCGGACUUAAAAACGCCGGCGCAACAUAUCAGCGCAUGAUUUAGACAUGUCUGGCUACCCAGAUCGGCAAAACAAUGGAGGCAUACGUAGACGAUGUGGUCGUCAGACCAAACACGUCGAAACUCUAAUAGACGAUUUGAGGCUCACAUUCGACAACCUUCGAGCAUAUGACAUUAAGCUUAACCUGGAAAAAUGCGUUUUCGGCGUACCACCCGGAAAGCUCUUAGACUUCAUUGUAUCCGGUAGAGGAAUUGAAGCAAACCCAGCCAAGAUCCGAGCUCUGUCACAAUUGGACAUCCCAAAAGACCUCAAACAAAUAAAAAAAUUGACUGGAUGCGUGGCGGCCCUAAGCCGCUUCAUCUCCCGUUUGGGAGAAAAAGCAUUGCCCCUCUAUCGCCUCCUCAGGCGCACCGAACACUUCGAAUGGACGGACGCUGCCACAGCCGGACUCGAAGAAAUAAAGGCCAUAUUGGCAACAAAUCCGGUCCUGGCCGCGCCCAACUUGGGCGAACCAAUGUUGUUAUAUAUCGCGGCAACACAUCAAGUUGUAAGCGUGGUGCUCGUCGUCGAACGAGAAACAGAAGGGCACAAAUUCCCUCUUCAAAAACCAGUGUACUACGUAUCCACUGUCCUAACUCCUGCAAGUCCCGGUACACACAUUAUCAAAAGAUAGCGUACGCGGUGUUCAUGGCAUCCUGGAAGCUGCGACACUACUUUCAAGAGUGUUCGAGAACAGUGGCCUCUGAAGUACCUCUCAACGACAUCAUAAACAACCGCGACGCGACGGGCAGGAUUGCAAAAUGGGCCAUUGAGCUUUUACCAUUCGAUAUAACCUACAAACCACGGCGAGCCAUAAAGUCGCAAGUUUUGGCUGACUUCGUCGCUGAAUGGACUGAAGCCGAACUCCCUAAAGAGUACGGCGCAUACUCCAAUUGGAUUAUGCACUUCUACGACUCUAAAAUGUUGGCCGGCUUGGGGGCUGGCAUCGUCUUGACGUCCCCAACCGGAGAUACAGUCUAAUACGUACUUCAAAUAAUGUACACGGACUCCAACAACGCAGCCGAAUACGAGGCCCUUCUACAUGGUCUCCGGAUGGCCAUCUCCAUGGGCAUUCAACGCCUAGAGGUCCGCGGGGAUUCAAACCUCGCAAUAUCCCAAGUAAAUGGAGACUUUGACGCCAAGGAUCCGAAAAUGGCAGCCUACCGUAACGCCAUCUUAAAAAUGUCAGCUCGAAUUCGAGGGACUCGAAUUCCACCAUGUAGCCCGGGACAACAACCAGGCAGCCGACGUGUUGGCACGCAUGGGCGCAAAACCCGACGCCGUCCCUCCAAACAUCUUCCUAGAGCGGCUCUUUAAGCCAUCCGUACUAUGGGAAGAGGAGUCCGGAAAUAGCAACCCGGAACCAACCGUACCACCCAACACGGAACAUUCUGACACAGUCGGUGGCUCAGCCAAUGAAAUAACACCCUCAGCCCACGAAAUAAUGGCAGUAAUCGCCCCGUGGAUGGAGCCAUUCCUAGCCUACUUAACUAGGCAGGAACUCCCUGAAGACCAAAAUGAGGCCCGCUGCAUAGUCCGGCGAUCUAAAGCCUACAAGGUCCAUGAGGGAGAACUUUAUAAGAAAAGCACAGCCGGAGUCCUUCAAAGGUGUAUCUCCGAAGAGGAAGGGCGAAAUCUCCUGGCUGAAAUUCACGCCAGACUCGGUGGGCACCACGCCGCAGCCCGGGCCCUUGUAGGCAAGGCCUUCCGUACAGGAUUUUAUUGGCCGACUGCCCGGGCAGAUGCUCAGGACUUAGUCCAACGAUGCGUCGGUUGCCAGCUCUUUGCUAAUCAAAGCCACAUGCCACCCACCACCCUCAAAACUAUACCCAUCACCUGUGGGGGCUUGAUAUGGUUGGACCCCUUAAAGGGGGAACCCACAAGCAAAAAUACCUAUUGGUCAUGGUGGACAAAUUCACCAAAUGGAUAAAGGCCAAGCCAGUUAAAACGGCCGAAUCCGGACCCGUGAUAGACUUCAUAUCCGGGGUAGUACACCGUUAUGGUGUCCCCCACAGCAUCAUCACUGAUAACGGCACGAAUUUCACGGCCGACAAGGUUAAACUCUGGUGCAAAAACAUGGGCAUCAAGCUCGACUACGCUUCAGUCUAUCACCCCCAAACUAACGGUCAAGUCGAACGAGAAAACGGUCUAAUCAUGAGCGGCAUCAAACCCAGACUAGUGCGGUCCCUCACGGAAUCUAACACGCACUGGGUAGAGGAGCUCGACUCCGUACUCUGGGGGCUGCGGACCAGGCCAAACCGCACUACCGGAUUCACACCAUUUUUUAUGGUGUACGGCGCAGAGGCAGUUCUGCCCUGCGAUAUAAUUCAUGACUCACCUCGCGUGCGCAUGUACGAAGAAAGAGAAGCCGAGUUGGAUCGGCAAGACAGUUUGGACGCCUUAGAGGAGGAGCGGGACGUGGCAAAAGCUUGUUCGGCAUUCUAUCAGCAGCAGGCUCGAAGAUAUCAAAGCAGAGAAGUACGGGCCAAAAUUUACAAUGUUGGUGAACUUGUUCUACGCCUGCCGGACAAGAAAAAGGACAAACUUAAGCCCAAAUGGGAAGGUCCCUUUGUCAUCGACCAAGUCCUGACUGGCGGGGCAUACCGUCUAUGUAACGCCUCUGACAACCGACUCGAGCUGAACCCAUGGAACGCAGCCCGUCUCCGAAGAUUCUACGCCUAGCGCCGGACUCGGGGUUCGUCUCCCUCCCCCGUCCACCUUUUACAUUUUCGUUGUCUCUUGUUCUCCUCCUCCUUUCCUUUUUUUUAGUAAAAGCCUUUGACGGGCUGAUCUGCGCAUUGUUCGCAGACACUUGAUGUGCUACUCGCACUCAUUAUACCUGGGGGCUUCUUUAACAGAAGCUUAUUUAUAUGGGCUUCAUGCCCAACACAUGUGUCAUACUUCCGCAUGUACCUUUUAUUCACCAUUAUAUGCACCGAUAUGACUUAAGUUUUGGCCAAGCUGGGUUGCCUGGCUCCUGUGCUUACCCCUACGUUCACGAUUGUUCGGCUAGGAGGUAAAGGGAGCACCUCUGCGAUUGUUACUGCCGGGUCAGCCGGAUGUGUACCUUUGACUGGGUGAAGCCGAAAGCUAGCGUUCUUAAGGGAAUAUUCGGUCGGUGACUUGAAAGAUGAUUUAUUACUUAUUUAAACUUAUUUGCCCCCAGAUGCUUUUUCUGCUCUUUUCGCAGUACGGACAUGCACCUUAGGGCAUGCCUCCCAGGGAAAGGAACCCCUAACGGGACUAUUCUCCCUAGAAGAUGUUUCUUACUAACCAUGUAAUAUAACAUAACUAGUUGGGCACUUGUGUGGUAAAGCACUAAUGACCCCUACGCCUGGUCUCCAUGCAUGCCCCGGUUUUUUCAUAACCGAGGAGGUAUUCGGACACACUCCAGACUCUAGGGUCCCGAGGUUGAAGCAAAAAGGUCGGCAAAGACAAACAAUCUACAAUCCGGCUAGAAGGCAUUUUACAUGUCAUUUCAAAAUACAUCGUCAAAUUGACUGAUUGUACUCCUCUUCAAUCCCGUCUAACAGGCUGUCUAAUUUAUAGUCCCGUUGGGAAUACUUAGCGGCUAACUCUACUUGGUCGUACAUUAAGCUCACAGGGAUCUCCUUCCCAUCGGGCCCCACAGGUCCGACCUCGGACAUGUGGUUCGGAUCCGCCUUCUUGUACCGCGUCUUCACCAUGGCCCAGGCCUCCCUGGCACCUUGACGGCAGGUCGAUAUCUUCCACAGACGGAAGUGCUGCCGUGCUCCCUGAAGCUUCUCUGCAAGCCCUUCAAGGCCUUCGGGUAGGGAGACGGACGGCCAGAAGGCCUGGGCAACGCCACUCAUCGCUUGUCGAACACGUCCGUGCAGUUGCAUCAGCUCGGGGAGUUGGUCACCCGUUGAAUCGGGCAUUUCCUCCGCAGGGCGACCUGUGAGCACACCUAGAGACACAUUUCUGUCAAUCGACUUCCUCGCCGACCUCUUCUUUUCAAAGGAGUUUGCUCAAGCACUUACUAUAAAUGCCGCGACGAAGCCGCUGAUUCUCCUUCACGGAGCCAGACAGCUGGGCCCGAACACCUUUCAGCUCUUCUCCCAGCCGGGUGUGGGCAUCUUGGAGUUUGUUCCUCUCCUGCUGCACCUUCAUAAGCACCCUCUCACCGGCCUUCAGCUGGCACAGUAGCUGUUGCUUGUUCGGAUCUAGUCCGGCACCCUCUGCAAUAUUAUUGUCAGACUUACGCACAUGCCGCACUUUAUUAACUACUUAUCUUUUCGAAGUAUGUAUUACCAGCGGGGGUCUCUGUGGCUCCCCCUGUGGCGGCCAGUGCAGCCUCAAGUUGGGCCUUGCACUCUUGAAGCUCCUGGGACAGGUGGGUAUUCUUCUCCGUAAGAUCCUGCAUAACAAAUGAUCCUUAAAUCAGUUAUUCUAACUAUUUUAAGUCUCAGGGGCUACUGGCAUAUAUAACUAUUAAAAUUCCUUACCUGUAUGUCCUUCACAUACUGCUCUGUGGCUCUGGUUAAACCAUCUUGAGUGGCACGGAGGUGGGCGUCUCCCACAUUAAAGGCAUUCAACGCUUCCGGGGAGAAACAUGCGUCAUGAAGAACUGUCCGGCGACGCCUGUGAUUCAUGGCGCUCUCCACCUCAGACCUGGUGGCGGACAGCCUGUCGGCAUCCUCCGUUGGAGGAGCAUCCGGCUCAUGCCUUGUGUUUGCCUCCCCUUCCGGACCACACGUUGGAGCAUGGCUGGCGGAGGCUUGAUUGGCAACCUCUCCGGACACUGUCCGGCGAGCGCUCUUUCUCCUGGAAAAGUCAUGAGCAUUAAUAUACCUCCUAGGGAUCUUUCCCUUAAAAACGGCGGUGCGCUGUACCGUUGCGGCGACGUUUCAAUUCACGCCGCACUCCUCUUCCGCCUACUGGGCCGAACUGAUCCUUGUUGGUCAGCCACCGCGGGUUCGGCUUCCCGCCUUAAAGGCGCCUCCUGCGGAGCACCGUUGGUACACGGUGGUCAGAAAUAAGCAUGGACCAAGUAAUGGUGUCAGGACUCCGGUCGUGGUCACCUGGGGAGCCGGAGAUAAACCGAGGUAGUCAGCCGUAAUGGCGACUAGAGCAUUAUCCAUGCUAAGUUGGUGGAACACCCCGUCGAUCAGCUCCACCUUUAUGUUCGGGUCCUCUUCGGAGGCCGGAUCAAGGGAUCGUCCCGGAUCCUUGGGCUGUGGAGUCAGGCUUUGUAUGCCCUCCACGUCCCGGCGCAGCUCCUGCGUCCAAAUCACAAAGUGAGACACUUGACUUUGGAAAUAUGGAUCGGAUAGAUAAAACGUCCGCUUACCCAGCUCCGAGGGUUAUUCAUGGAGAAUCCAUUCAAUGGACUCGUGCGGAGGAAGUCCUCCUUCUCCCCCUUGUACAAGCCGGACAGGAUCUUUACCAGAUCGGCGGCUGAUCCCGACCCCUUGCGGCCAUGACGGGUGGCGUCAUCUUCCCCGUUGAAAUCCCACAUUGGGUGGCCCCUAUAUUGGAGCGGCUGCACCCCUCGCAUAAUGCACGUUGCCAUGACUCCAAUCAUGGUCAAUCCGGAGUGGGCCAGUAACCUAAUCCGGCCCAUCAGAUAAUGGACGCUCCCAUCAUCUUCCCAUUGAGGGCUCCGCGGGCACCAACUCAGGCGUUUCUUCAAGGGAGCGUUGCUGAACUCCGAGAGGCCGAUCCGAACUGGAUCCGGCAGAGGGGUGUCCUCCAUAUAGAACCAUUCCAAAGGCUAGUUUUUGGACGCCUUCUUCGGGGUGCCGGAUAGAUAUCCGGUCCCGGCGAUGCGCCAUAUUUCGGCUCCGCCCACUUGAGAACAGGGUACAAGGCAAAACAAUUUCUUCCACAGCGCAAAAUGGGGCUCGAUGCCCAAGAACAGCUCGCAAAGAGCUACAAAGCCCGCGAUGUGCAGAAUGAAGGCAGGUGUAAGGUGGUGAAGCUGGAGUCCGUAGAACUCCAGGAGCCCCCGGAGAAACGGAUGUAUGGGAAAUCCGAGUCCCCUUAUUAGAUAAGGGACGAAGCAUACCCGAUCUCCUUUGGAAGGGUUGGGGGCGCUCUCCGCCUGCUUUCCACCCCUGAAGGUGGCCAGUCCGGCUCGAACCGGAACCAUGAAGGAUGGGGGAAGAUAUCCCUCGGUUUGGAGCGUCACUAGCUCGCUGUGUGGAACUGAGCAUCUCCCCAAUCUCCUGGCUGAGGGCUGGGAGCGCGAGAGGAGGAGCCGCGUCGACUAUCCAUGAUGGAAUGGAUUUUUGUCAGAGGCGCUCCGAUGAGUACUUGCGGAAGGAGGAUGGUGUGAGUUGGAUCUAGAUCCUCGCCUCUCUUAUAGGAGGCUCGUUCGCGCGGCUAGGGGGUAAAACGUAAAAAUACCCUAGCUUUUCGCAUUCAUACGACACGUGGAAGAGGGCCAUUAUUGGACGUAGAAGCCAAGGAACGCAACAUUUAUAAGGAAGCCGGACACUAUUCGGCAGGUACAUGAAGUUUGAAGGAGAAUCCGCCUUGCAACGCCGAAGACAAUAUACGCGCCGAACUCGUCGUCAUUGAAGCCUGGUUCGGGGGCUACUGAGGGAGUCCUGGACUAGGGGUUGUCCGGAUAGCCAAACUAUCAUCAUCGGCCGGACGCCAAGACUAUGAAGAUACAAGAUUGAAGACUUCGUCCCGUGUCCGGAUGGGACUUUCCUUGGCGUGGAAGGCAAGCUUGGCGAUAUGGAUAUGUAGAUCUCCUACCAUUGUAACCGACUCUGUGUAACCCUAGCCCUCUCCGGUGUCUAUAUAAACCGGAUGGUUUUAGUUCGUAGGACGACAACAAUAACAACAAUCAUACCAUAGGCUAGCUUCUAGGGUUUAGCCUCCUUGAUCUCGUGGUAGAUCUACUCUUGUAAUACCCACAUCAUCAAUAUCAAUCAAGCAGGACGUAGGGUUUUACCUCCAUCAAGAGGGCCCGAACCUGGGUAAAACAUCGUGUCCCUUGUCUCCUGUUACCAUCCGCCUAGACGCACAGUUCGGGACCCCCUACCCGAGAUCCGCCGGUUUUGACACCGACAACACUCUUACUUAUCAAAAAGACUACAAUUGACCCCAUAUACUUGUGGGUCAUCAAGGCUAUUUUCUGGUGCCGUUGCCGGGGAGUGAAGCGCUCUUGGUAAGUGGAAAUUGGAAGGAAACAUUAUUACUACAUACUGAAAUUUAUUGUCACUUGCUACUAUGGAAAAUAAUCCUUUGAGGGGUUUGUUCGGGGUGUCUUCACCUCGACCGAAACCACAAUUAGUUGCCCCUCAACCUACUACACCUACUGAAAAUAUUGAAUAUGAAAUUCCUUAUGGUAUGGUAGAACAACUGCUAGCUAAUCCUUAUGCAAAAGAUGGAACCAAACAUCCUGAUAUGCACUUGAUAUAUGUGGAUGAAAUUUAUGGAUUGUUUAAGCUUGCAGGUUUACCCGGAGAUCAAGCUAAGAAGAAGGUUUUCCCUUUAUAUUUGAAGGUAAAAGAAUUGGCAUGGUAUAGGCUAUGCGAUGAUAUUGGAUCUUGGAACUGGAAUUGGUUGAAAUUGGAAUUUCAUCAAAAAAUAUUAUCCUAUGCAUCUAGUUCAUCAUGAUCGGAAUUAUAUAUGUAAUUUUUGGCUCGUGAAGGAGAAAGUAUUGCUCUAGCUUGGGGGAGGCUUAAGUCAAUGUUAUAUUCAUGCCCCAAUCAUGAGCUCUCAAGAGAGAUUAUUAUUUAGAAUUUUUAUGCUCGGCUUUCUCGUAAUGAUCAAUCCACGCCCGAUACUUCUUGUACUGGUUCUUUUAUGAAGAAGACUAUUGAAUUCCGGUGGGAUCUUUUAGAAAGAAUAAACACAACUCCGAAUAUUGGGAACUCGGUGAAGGUAAAGAGUCAGGUAUUGAACCUAAGUUUGAUUGUGUUAAAUCUUUUAUGAAUAUCGAUGCUUUUCAAAAGUUUAGCACUAAAUAUGGACUUGACUCUGAGAUAGUAGCUUCCUUUUGUGAAUCUUUUGCUACUCAUGUUGAUCUCCCUAAGGAUAAGUGGUUAAAAUAUCACCCACCUAUUAAAGAAGAAGUUAAAGAACCGGUAAAAACUAAAUAAACUAUCAUUUAGAAUGUUGAUCCAGUUGUUCCCACUACUUAUAUUGAAAAAUCACCUUUCCCUGUUAGGAUGAAGGAACAUGCUAAAGUUUCAACUGUGGUUAACAAAAGUUAUGUUCGAACACCCAAACCAGUUGAACAAAUCAGAGUUGAACCUAGUGUUGCUAUGAUCAAUGGGCAUGCUAUUUACUUCUGUGAUGAAGCUUCUAGAAUUGCCAAACCUGAAGAAAUGGAUAAACAUAGACUAGUUGUUGGCAUGCCUAUUGUCUCAAUUAAGAUAGGAGAUCACUGUUAUCAUGGGUUAUGUGACCUAGGUGCUAGUGUGAGUGCUAUUCCUUUUUCCUUAUACGAAGAAAUUAAGAAUGAAAGAGCACCUGCUGAAAUAGAAGACAUAGAUGUCACUAUUAAACUUGCCAAUAGAGAUACUAUAUCACCAAUUGGGAUUCUUAGAGAUGUCGAAGUCUUGUGUGGGAAAAUAAAAUACCCUGCUGAUUUUUUGGUUCUUGGCUCCCCACAAGAUGACUUUUGUCCCAUUAUCUUUAGUAGACCUUUAUUAAACACCAUCAAUGCUAGAAUAGAUUGUAAGAAACAAACUGACAGUGUUAGCUUUGGUGAUGAAUCUCAUGAAUUUAAUUUUCCAAGUUUAGUAAACAACCUCAUAAGAAAGAUUUGCCUAGUAAGGAUGAAUUUAUUGGUCUUGCUUCUAUUGAUGUACCUCCUACUGAUCCUUUGAAACAAUAUUUGCUAGACCAUGAAAAUGAUUUGCAUAUGCGUGAAAGAAAUGAAAUAGACAAAAAAAAAUUCGAACAACAACCUCUGCUUAAACACAAUUUGCCUAUUGAAACUCUAGGAGGUCCUCCACCUAAAGGUGAUCCUGUGUUUGAAAUAAAACAAUUGCCAAACACUUUGAAAUAUGCUUAUCUAGAUG